GCCGACGCGAUUAGCUCUCCAAUUUACACACCUGAUUCCACAGUCCAGGUGAUUUAUGUUGUUCGAGGGAGUGGCCGGAUACAGAUCGUGGGUGUUAACGGUCAACGUUUGUUGGACGCAGAGGUAACCGCCGGGCAACUGCUUGUGGUACCAAAGUUCUACAUGGUUGCUAAACUCGCAGGACAAAAUGGGUUGGAGUGUUUCGCUGUCAUGACCAGUUCUCAGUAAGCACACAUUAUUAUUGUGCAAAAUAAUAUUGAAAUUUCACAACAACAUUACUUCAAUUUCAGUAGUAUUUUAUUUAGGGAUAUACUUAAUUGGUAUUAUUUUUGCAGGCCUGUCUUAGAAGACUUAGCUGGGAAGACAUCAGCUUUGGGAGCAUUAUCACCGGAGGUACUACAAAUAGCCCUUAAUAUAAGUCCAGGGCUAGAACAACUUAUCAAGUCAAAGAUUAGAAAGGGGUGAUCGAUCAUGAUCAACGGUUCAACGGCCUAAUUAUAUAUCUCCAUAUAUAUAUAAAAAGGGACACUUUGGAUGCGGUCCCUAGCUAUCAAUAUUCUUUGAUUGAAAACUUGUUAGUUUUUAGUUUUUUAUUGAGGUCCCUGACAUUAAUGUAAUAAUGUAAGUUACUAUAUUUUUUAAAUUAAAAAUUAAAAAUUGAAAUUUGAAAUUUGUAAUUGUUUAUAUUAAUGAGAUUUUAAAUAAAACCCAUAAUUUAUGGGAUUAAAAAUAAUAAAAUAUAAAUUAUACUCUAUUAUAUUGUGUGUGUGUGUACAUAUAUGUAUGGGUACAUUAACCAAAAUUAACAAAAAAAGUUAUUGUACCAAAACAUGGAUACAUUCUCAGAUCAACGAAAAAGAAUGUAUCCAUAUAAGUUUAAACAUGGAUUAAAAAAUUUGAAUGGAUUUUAUAUUAAAAAAAAGGGUACAUUUUACAUAUAACAAAUUGAUAUAUUUGAGAAUGGGUACAUUUAAGAUUAAAAAAAUUGAAAAAUUAUAUGAAUGGGUACAUUUAAGAUUAAAAAAUUGAGAAUCUUUUUAUGUAUAAAAAAAAACUAAUAGGUACAAACUUAAUUUAAUUUAAUGUUUUAUUAUUUUGGAAAUGUUUGAAUUGAAAAUUAAUUAGAAGUUUAAUAGAGGUGUGAGUAUUAAACCCUAAAUUAAUUACUAAUUUUUAUAUUAAAAAAUUAUAUAAUAAACAUGUAAAUUCAUUAUCACAUUAUUGCUAGGGACUUGAAUCAAAAUUUAAGAACUAAUAAGGUCUUAGUCAAUGAACAGUAAGAACUAAGGAUCGGAUACUAAUUUUUUCUAUAUAAUAUUAAUAAGAAGAUCCAUGCAUCAUGCAUGAUAUAUUACUGCAAUGCAAGAGUGAGAUACGGUCUUUCUGUAUGUAAUUUUGACUUCAAGAAUUUUAGCUAUAGCACACCCCUUGUAUUGGUGUGGAUUAAGAUGAAAGAGCACCGACUUCGGUGGCAAUUAUCAGUAGCCACCAUGCAGCCACUGAAUAAGAAUCCAUGUCCUAUGUAAACAUCUUCAUUGUAACAAACGCCACUAUUUCUACAUCCGUGUAAAAAGGUAAUAGUACAAGUCUCAUUAUAUUCGAUCUUUUUAUUUAAAAUAGGAAGUUUAACGAAAAGUUCCUGGAAUUGUUUACUUUAACGAAAAAUCAUAUUUUUACACUAAAAAGUUAAUCAUGAUAUUAUUCACUUUACUAUUUAUUUUAUUUUUAUCAUUAAAACAAAAAGUUUUCAGACACUUUUUAUUAGUUUUCUUUUAUUUAUUUAUAAUUAAAAAUAGUAAGUAAAUCUUGUUAGAGAAAAUGUCCUUUUUGCAUCAGUGUCCAGAUAAGAUGAGAGAAAAUCGGUUACGGUGGUUUGGACAUGUGCAAAGAAGGCCUACUGACGCUCCGAUUAGAAGAUGCGACUAUGGGACAGAGGUUCAGGGCCGAAGGGGUAGAGGAAGACCUAGGAAAACUUUGGAAGAGACUCUAAGAAAAGACUUAGAGUACUUGGAUCUAACGAAGGACAUGACACAGGAUCGAGCACAAUGGCGUUCUAAGAUUCAUAUAGCCGAUCCCACUCAGUGACUUGGAUUUUCCAAGUCUCCAACCGAGAAGUUUUCCUCACUCGGGAAAUUAAGGGAACACUACCCCAACCUACAUGCUCCACUCAGAAAGCUUCAACAUACAAGCUUCAACAUACAAGCUUCAACAAAAGAAAAUUCAAAGAACUUAACGAAGAAGGCUUUGGUGUAUUUAACACAAUACGUUGAAAUGAAGGAAAGCUUAUUUAUUGAUAUUCCCGAUAAGCUACAAAUAUGUACAUAUACAUGAGUCAAAAUAAACACACAAGAGGAAGCCUUCACAAAGGUUGCUUAGGAGAAGUCUCAGCAGUCGGUAGAGCCCCAGAAAGAGAAGGCACCGGAGGGGGAUCAUUUGGAGCCUCAGUACUGGACAGAACCCUAGAAGGAGGAGGCAUCAGAGGUUGAUCAUUUGGAGCUUCAUUACGCGGUACAGCCCCAGAAGACGAAGGCAAUAAAUGCCUUUGGAACAAACCCACAAAUCUCUGAUGAUCAAGUAAAACCUGACCAUCAGUUUCCUUCAUCUGGUCAAGCUUCCUCUUCAUGUUUGUAGCAUAGUCAUGUGCGAGCCGGUGCAACUGUUUAUUCUCAUGCUUGAGCCCUCUAAUCUCAUGUUUGAGACUCAUCACUUCAGCCGCCAAUGAUUCAACUUGGCGGGUUCGAGCAAAUAGGCGUUGGGCCAUAUUAGACACAGAACCUGCACACUGAACACUGAGAGCCAGCGAAUCCUUAACAGCUAACUCAUCAGACCGUUUGGAAAGUAGUCUGUUAUCUUUGGGAGUGAGAAGGUUCCUGGCCACCACCGCAGCGGUCAUAUCAUUCUUCAUCACGGAAUCCCCAACGGUAAGAGGACCAGUAGGGGAGACGAAGGAUGGGCCCAUAUGUUGUCUGGAGAAGGCGGGGCUGCCUCUUCAACAAGGUUCAAGUCAAAACGACGGUCGGAGGGGCCAGACAUUUUCAAAGGUGUUGAAGAGAGAAGAGGUCGGACAAAUCAAGAUCUUAGAAGUGCAAGAAUGAAGCUUCUACUGGUGGAGAUUCAAGUGUGGUUUGGAACUUAAUGCCAGCCCCUAUAAAAAUCUGCACUCGACGGAGCUUCAGAAAUCGAAGAGGCGCCUGCUCAGAAAUCGAAGAGGCGUUUGCUUUCUCAAAAGUUGGGCUACUUAGAGAUCACGAGGGUUGAUCUCAGAAAUCGAAGAGGUGUUUGCUUUCUCAAAAGUUGGGCUGCUCAAAGACCACGAAGGCCGAUCUCAGAAAUCGAAGAGGCGCUCGCUUUCUCAAAAGCUGGGCUCCCCAGAGACCACGAGGGCCGAUCUCAGAAAUCGAAGAGGCACCUACUUUUUCCAACCUUGUCAGCACCUGUCACACGCACACUCAGCUUUACGGAAAUUAUGGGCAUUCUGUCAAAGACUUCUGGGGAAGUAGAAAACACAUGAAUCUUACUGUUCAAUCACCCAUUUCCCACACGCAACAAUAGCUCAUGGGUACCACAGAUAACUUUGCCAAAGUUCUCUCUGCCAAAGUUGAGCACGUGAAGCUUGCAGCUCCCACUACAUCGCUCUGACCAAGAAGGGUAAAAGAAUAGCAAAGAAACAGCACUAACAAAGUUUAGACCCAUAAAUUUUGAAGGUCUAGCUACCAUAUUAUUACCCACAAGGGUAAAGGAACAGUACCAUUGCUGGAUAAUUGGAAAGUCCCUGUGUGUCAACCUCUGUGCUUCGUGGCAAGGUAGACUAGCAAACAUGCCCAACCUUUACUCACAUUCGAGAAAACACUCCCAAUAAGAUUGCUUGCUCCAAAAUCAAAGAGGCACCGCUCUCCGAAUCUCGAGAGCCAGACUCCCAACAUGAUUACUUUCUCAAAAAUCGAAGAGACACUGCUCCCCGAAUCUCGAGAGCCAGACCCCCAGCAUGAUUGCUUUCUCAAAAAUCGAUGAGGCAUCGUUCUCCGAAUCAAUCGAAGAGGCGCUCGCUUUCUCAAAAGCUGGGCUGCUCAUAGACCACGAGGGCCGAUCUCAGAAAUGAAAGAGGCACCUACUUUUCUAGCCUUGUCAGCACCUGUCACACACACACUCAGCUUUGCAGAAAUUAUGGGCAUUCUGUCGAAGACUUCUGGUGAAGUAGAAAGCACAUGAAUCUUACUGUUCAAUCACUCACUUCCCACACGCAAUAAUAACUCAUGGGUACCACAGAUAACUUUGCCAAAGUUCUCUGCCAAAGUUGAGCACGUGAAGCUUGCAGCUCCCACUACAUCGCUCUGACCAAGAAAGGUAAAAGAAUAACAAAGAAACAGCACUAACAAAGUUUAGACACAUAAAUUUUGAAGGUCUAGCUACCAUAUUAUUACCCACAAGGCUAAAGGAACAAUACCACUGCUGGAUAAUUGGAAAGUCCCUGUGUGUCAACCUCUGUGCUUCGUGGCAAGGUAGACUAGCAAACAUGCCCAACCUUUACUCACAUUCGAGAAAACACUCCCAACAAGAUUGCUUGCUCCAAAAUCGAAGAGGCACCGUCCUCUGAAUCUAAAGAGCCAGACUCCCAACAUGACUACUUUCUCAAAAUCGAAGAGAGGGUAAAGGAACAGUACCAUUGCUGGAUAAUUGGAAAGUCCCUGUGUGUCAACCUUUGUGCUUCGUGGCAAGGUAGACUAGCAAACAUGCCCAACCUUUACUCACAUUCGAGACAACACUCCCAACAAGAUUGCUUGCUCCAAAAUCGAAGAGGCACCGCCCUCCGAAUCUCGAGAGCCAGACUCCCAACACAUGAUUACUUCCUCAAAAAUCGAAGAGACACUGCUCUCCGAAUCUCGAGAGUCAGACCCCCAGCAUGAUUGCUUUCUCAAAAAAUCGAAGAGGCAUUGUUCUCCGAAUCUCGAGAGCCAUAUACCACAGACCACUUUUUCAAAGUGCUCUGACAGAGUUAAAACAUGUGAAACUGGCAGCUCCCACUACUGUGCUAUGACCAAGCAGGGUAAAGGAAUAGCAUUACUACUUGUUGUUAGGGAGACUCCUAUAUAUGUCGACCUCCAUCCCCAACGGACAGGCAGACUUGCAAAAAUGCUCAACCCUUCAUCAUAUCUGAGAGGGCACUCCCAACGAAGCCUUUCGAAAUAUUCAGCUUUCUUUCCCCCCGAUAAUACCUCUGCAAACAAGUAUACUAGAGCAAGAAUAUCUCAUAUCAUCAGGGUUAAAAGCAAGAGUAUCCCAUAUCAUGCUUUUUCCCUGUCUUUUCUUUUGGCCUUGUUUUUACCUGCAAGACAAGGAGAAAGAGAGCAAUCAGUCAGCACUUGGAAUCAAGCUUCCAGCCAGGAACUGACUGCCUGGAACCCCUUACCUGAUUACUUACCUGGCAUUGCUCUCGAGUACUCAUCUUCAACAUCUUAUGUUUCCAGGGAAGAUUCCGCAUCUGCUUGAGGAACAGAUAGGGCAAGUGCGAAGGAUACAAGGAAGCAUGUGGAGACAAGCGUAACAGCACACGUGCCGAUACAUCCAUUACUCUGUCAAAAGCAAAAGUAUCCCAUAUCAGCAGGGUGGAACGUACUCUAGAUUUGAUGGACUUGUUUUGACCCUCAAAUUCUUCAGUCGGCCUUAUACUCUGGAGGAAACCAAAAAAACCCUCCAGCUCAGUUCAAGAAUAAGCCUGUGGAACGUUACUUCUUCAAAAGCAAAAGUAUCUCAUAUCAUCUCUUCUCAUUUUUCUUCUCUUUAUCCUUCAUGCUGCUGCAAGAUGGGGAGAAGGUGAACAAUCAGUCGGAGCUCUGAUUGCUUACCUUGUCUGUCACCUCUUUCAGCAGACCCCCUAGCUCGGCGACUUGGGGGACUCCUACUACAUGGUUUGUAUCGCGCUUGACCAAGCCUGAAAACUACAAGUAAGCUUCAAGUGAAAUUGAUACAUUUACCUUGUGCAUCUCCACCAGUUAAAGAUACCACCCCUGGAUGGAGGAAGAGUACUUCCAGAGAAGAUGCCACAUCUACCUAUGAGACAGAUAAGGCAAGUCAAGACGACACCACACUCCGAUACUUAGAAGUUUCGUGAUUACGAGAUCAUUCUCCCACAAUAUUUCCUAAUGUCAUUUGUACUAAAAUCAUUCACUUGUACUCACUAAAGGAGAGCUUGAACCUAUGUACUUGUGUAAACCCUUCACAAUUAAUGAGAACUCUUCUAUUCCGUGGACGUAGCCAAUCUGGGUGAACCACGUACAUCUUGUGUUUGUUUUCCUAUCUCUAUCCAUUUAUAUACUUAUCCACACUAAUGACCGGAGCAAUCUAGCGAAGAUCACAAAAAAGCGACCGUUUUUGCUACCUAGGAUCUAUCUUGCAAGAGAACGGAGAAUUAGAUGGAGAUCUCAACCAUAGAAUACGAGUUGGAUGGAAAGAGUGCAUCCGGCGUGUUGUGUGACCGUCGUAGGCCACUGAAGCUCAAGGGAAAAUUUUAUAGGACGGCAAUAAGGCCAGCGAUGUUGUAUGGCACAGAAUGUUGGGUGGUGAAGCAUCAACACGUACACAAAAUGGGUGUAGCGGAGAUGAGGAUGCUUCGUGGGAUGUGUGGGCACAUGAGAAAGGAUAAGAUUGGGAAUGAGGAUAUCCGAGGUAAAGUAGGAGUAGCCGAAAUUGUAGGAAAGAUGAGAGAAAAUCGGCUCCGGUGAUUUGGACAUGUGCAAAGAAGGCCGUCUGACGCUCCGGUUCGAAGAUGUGACUACGGGACAGAGGUUCAGGGCCGAAGGGGUAGAGGAAGACCUAGGAAAACUUUGGAAGAGACUCUAAGAAAAGACUUAGAGUACUUGGAUCUAACGGAGGACAUGACACAAAAUCGAGCGCAAUGGCGUUCUAGGAUUCAUAUAGCCGACCCCACUUAGUGGGAAAAGGCUUUGUUGUUGUUGUUGUUGUUGUUGUCCAGAUUGCUUUUUAUUUAUUUUUUUAUUUUUUAUUUUUUAUUUUUUAAGACGGGAGUAGGAUUAUCCUCAUCUAUUCUUAUCCCUUUCCCUCCUUUCCUUUCAUAUAUUAUUUUUUGUCAUAUUAUUUUUAUAAAAAAAUUAAUAUAAGAUAUUGACGUGAUUAUACCAUAACCGUUCAAAUAGAAGAGAAGAGAAAGAGAUUAAGAGGGAAGAGAAUCCUCCUCUUUCAAAAGGGCACCCACUGAGCACCCAUUGCAUUGUCUAAUCCCAUUAUUAAUGUCAAUGGCUUUUGAUAAAAUUAAUAUUUUUGCAAUUAAGUCCUCCAAGACAAACUUGCAAUCAAGUCCUACAAUUUCAAAGCGGACAAGGAUUGUCUGCCCUCCCUUUUUUCCAUGCCAUUCCAUGCCCUCCUGUUUAUGUGGUCACGGUUAAGUCACGUCAACAUUUUAUAUUACUAUUCAUUUUUAUCUUAUUAUCUUUAUAAAAAAAAUAAUAUAAAAUGUUAACAUGGCUUAACUGUGACCACACAAAACAGGAGGGCAUGGAAGGACAUGGAAAAUAGGAGGGCAGACAAUCCUUGUCCUUUCAAAGCAUACUUCCAUCCAUACCUGGGCAAAAUUAUAAAUUAAAAAUAAUAAAAACUUGAAAGAUAAUAUCACAUAAUCAUACUAAAUUUAAAAUAGUAUAAAAACAACUAAAACUAAUUAAAAUCUACCUUCAUAAGAACUUCAUAGUUCAUAUCUGAAUAAAUCACUUAAGAUCUGAUUGUUAAAUCAUCUUCUGCACUUCUUUCUUUCCAUCAAAAAAGUUAACAACGCAAAAAAACCACAAAUAAACAUCAUAAUUUACUUAAAAGAGCAGCGAAAAUUAAGUUUUUAGUCAGAAUGAAAAAAAAAAAGAAAAAUGAUUAUAGCGAAAACAGAAUAGUUAUGCCUAUCCGUGCAUCCUCCUCAAUGCCAAACCUUUUUGUACUCAACACUUUUCACUGUAGAACAACAAACUAUCGUAUGAAUUAACAAAUAAUUGCAUGCAGAGGAGACCCAAGCGAGAUUUGAAAACAUACAUUCAGAUCUUAGAAGAUAUGAACUCAAAGUGGGAAAAAACUCGGACCUGAUUUGAAAUUGAGGAAAAGGAAAGAGCUCUCACAAGUGGAGAGAGGAGCUCUCACAAACGGGAGAGAAAAACUCUCACCAACUCCUCUGCAAUCCAAAAUAAAACAAAGGGGAGAGAGAACUUUAUCUCUGAAGGAAAAACACAAGAGAAAGAGGAAAUCACGAAGAGAGAUGUGACAGUGAAAACAAAGAGAGAGAAGAAAGUAAAAGAAAGAGAGAGAGGGGGAAAAACAAAGGAGAAAAAGGAAAAUGAAGAGGGAGAGUUAGCUCAUUAGAUUUGGGCACAAUAUAAUAACAAUUAAAAAACUUAAUAAUUAUUAUUUUGACAUUAAAAGAAUCUAAUAAUUAUUAUUUGAGAACUUUAACGAAAAACUCAUGGUACUGUUCACUUUAACGAAAAACCACAUUUUUACACUAAAAAGUCAAUUUUGGUACUAUUCACUUUACUCUUUAUUUUGUCAUUUUCGUUAAAACUCAAAGUUUUCAAGCCAUUGUCAUUAGUUUUCCUUUAUUAUUUUGCAUGUAUAAAGCAAAAUAAUGAAUUUAUAGGUUAUAUAUUUGAAGAAUGACAUUAUCAUCGGUGUUGGAAAGCCUAAAGGACACCAAACAUACACAACGGUGCAAUCGACUCUUAAAAAGACACUGAUGGUGAAUGGUGUUCCCAAAACAGUGUCCUAUGUAUGGCCUGUUUUCUAGUAAUGUUUUUUGAAUAAAAUUUGUGAAUGGAUCACAAUGACAAUGUAAGAAUUCACUAUUGAUAAAAUACAAUACACUCUCUGUUUGUUCAAUAAAAUUCUGUGAAUGAUGACGAUGACAAUUGUGUACACAUAAAUCCAUUUCACCAAAGCUGAGACUUGGCAAGUAGAGAUUAUGAGCCCCGCUCUCAUCUUCCCCUCUUUCCUUCUUUCCCUCUUCUCAUUUGCAUCUUGUCUCUUUUCCCUUGCUCUUCUCUUCCCCUUGUAUUUUCUUCAUAUGUUUUAUCUGUUCCAUUUUCUUCUCUUUCUCAAAUCAAACAAAAUUGGUCAAACUAAGCUGAAUCUGAACCGAACUAGUUAUACCAUUUAAAUUUUAUCUUCCAUUUUUUAGGGUGAAGCAAAUCGAACCAAACCGUUAAUUAGUCAGUGUUUAAGCAUGUAUAUAGGGAAUCCAUUAUCGAACACAUCUGCUGACUUCAUGCUCUUUGUGAGCUCUAAAUUGUUUAGUUAGUAUAUAUGCAUUAAGAUAUAUUUUCGUAGUCACAUUAUUCAAACCACUGAAGUUGUAAUUCGUCUGAUUGGACUUCGUUUAAUGAAAUUUCUCUACCAUAUAUUGACAAAAAAAGAAAAAAGAAAUGCAUGUAUUAUGGCCGAGAGCUAAGUUAUACACACGACAGUGAAACAAAUAAUACUAUGUACCUAGUCCUCUCCAUUGCAGUAGAUCUUUUUUCAUGUACCCGGAACACGAGCUUGUACAUUACGUGUCAUAAGAGUGUUGAAUCCCACAUCGACCAAGUAAAAGAAAAGUAAAUAGUUUAAAUAUCUUAACCACACCCUAACUAACACCGAUGCCAUUUGUGAUAAAACCUCAUACCUGACGAAUUAGGCAGGUGGUAAUUACCAAGUUGGGCAUUGAGGUAUUUUGUGAUAAAACCCCACACCUGACGGAUUGUGCAAGUAGUAAUUACCAAGUUGGGGACAGUAUCAGUGUUGUUGUAAGUGGGUCUUUGGCCUGUCUCGUCUUUCUAAUAAUUCUACAUGGUAUCAGAGUCAGAGAGCGGACCCGUACUAUACUGCCACAUGAUGGAUGGGUCUCAUUGGCCCCACGCGAUGAUGGAUGGGUCCCAUUGUCCCCGCGUGUAAGGUGAGUCCCCUUAGCUUCACGUGGUUGUUGAUGUGUGGAUCUCCCACGUGUGACCCACUAAUUAGGUCCCACGUGAAGGGACAUGUUGAAUCCCAUAUCGACCAAGUAAAAGAAAAGUAAAUAGUUUAAACAUCCUAACCUCACUUUAACUAACACCGAGGCCUUUUGUGAUAAAACCUCAUAUCUGACGGAUUGUGCAUGUGGUAAUUGCCAAGUUGGGAACAAUAUCGGUAUUGUUGAAAGUGGACUCUGAGCUCGUCUCUCUGAUAAUUCUAAAUGAUAUCAAAGCUAGGAAUCGGGCCCCGUAUUGCCCAUGAUGAGUGGGUCCCCUUGGCCCCGCGUGCUAAGGGUGGGUCACUUGGCCCCGCGUGUAGGGUGAGUCCCCUUGGCUGCACGUGGUUGCCAAUGUGUAGACCUCUCACGUGCGACCCACUAAUUGAGUCCCACGUGAGGGGGCAUGUUAAGUCCCACAUCAGCUAUACAAAAAGAGAAAUUAUAGUUUAAAUAUCCUAACCAUACUCCAAUUAAUACCAAUGCCUUUUAUGAUAAAAUCUCACACCUGACGGUUUUGGCAGGUAGUAAUUACCAAGUUGGGGACAAUUAGUGUUAUUGGAAGUAGACAUUCGGGCAAUCUUUUUGAUAAUUAUACAUGGUAUCAAAGUUAGGGAGCGGGUCUGUACGUACUACCACGUGAUGGGUGGGUCCCUUUGGCCCCAUGGAUAAUGGUGGGUCCCUUGGCCCCGCGUGUAGGGUGAGUCCAUUUAGCUCCACAUAGUUGCCGAUGUGUGGAUCUCUCACGUGUGACCAAGGAAGAAAAUAUCAGUAAUAUCGGAAAUAUCGGUAGUCCGAAAACACGGAAAUAUCGAUGGAAAUAUCGGGAUAAUAUCGAUAUCGAUAAAAAUUACAUGGAAAUCACGGAAAUUGUAAGAAAAACUUGGAAAUUUUUAUUGAAACUUUGCAGGAUGUUUAUUUAGUCAAUUAUCUAUUAGUUUAUCACAAAAAAUUGGAAGGAAAUGCAUUGCAUGAUGGAUUUAACAUUAUCAAGUUGAUUAUAUAGCGAGCUGACAAACAUUGUGAGUGUAGAAAAUAUGUAGUAAUUAAUGAAAGAGGUCUAAACACACCAUAAUCAUUUAUAUAUAAUGAAUUAGUACAAUAUUUUACACUUUAUACAUUGCAUUUUUGGUUCUUCUCCGACAGAAUUUGGUCUUCACGUGGAAAAGAAGAUAAAGUAAGCAGAUUUUUUGGUUCUUCUCUGACAGAAUAUUUGGUUCUUCUGUGCAAAGUCACUUCCAAUUCUUUCAUACAAAACCGUGUGCCACACACACACACCCUCAAAGUUUUUUUCUUUUUCUCUCGGAUAACACACACACACACAUAACCAUACACACACACACACACACACACAUAACCAUACACACACAUAACCAUACACACACACACACACACACAUAACCAUACACACACACACACACACACACACACACACACACACAAAAAACCAUGGUUUUAUACAAAACCGUGUGCCACACACACACACACACACACCCUCAAUCCUUCCUUCUCUCUCGAAUCGUCUCGAUCCUUCCUUCUCUCUCUUCUCUCUCUGAGUCUUCUCCAUUCCUGUAAUUGUUCUCAGUCUUCUCCCUUCCCCCUUCUCCAGUUCUUCCACACACACACAGACAUCAUCUCUCGAAUCUCGAUCCAUCUCUCGAUCCUCCUCGUCCGCGUCUCCCUCUGCUCCUCCCAUCUCACCCGCCCUAAACCCAGCCGUCGACACCACUCCAUAACCGCCUUCUAAACCACCUUGUUCCAUGGAGAAGCCGUGUCGUUAGUCCCAAUCGUCGAGUCGUAACUGUCGCGUCAUCGCAAAUCAACGGUUGUGGAGAAACUGAGUGGAGGCAGCGGACACCGGACGAUGGACCGGAAUUCAUCGUAGUCGUCGGUGAGGAGCACGACGUUGUCCCAGCCGUCUUGGAUUCGUGAGGAAAACGACGUUCCCAGGCUCCUACUACCAUAUUCUUCUCGGCUUGUAAUUUAAUUUUUGUACAGAUUUCGAAUUUUCUGCAUGUUGCACCAUUUUUGUACUGAAUUCGAUUUUAGGGAUUUAGGAAUUAGGGAUUCAGUUCAUUUGCUUUGAAUUUGAAUUUGGGGAUUUAGGGAUUCAGUUCAUUUGCUUUGAAAUCGAAUUUGGGGAUUUAGGGAUUCGGUUAAUUUGCUCCGGCGUUCUUCUCCGAUUUGAACAGUACCAAAAUAUCGCGAUAGUUUAAAAAAUAUUGCGAUAUUAUCGAUAUUAUCGAUAAUAUCGCGAUAUUUUGACGAAAACAAUUUGGAUAGUUAAAAAAAUAUCGGACCCCCAAAAAAACGAUAAUAUCGGCGAAAUAUCGCUGAUAUUAUCGAUAUUUUCUUCACUGCGUGUGACCCACUAAUUGGGUCCCACAAUAGGGCAUGUUGAAAUCCCAUAUCGGCUAGAGAACUAAAGAAAGAAGAGUUUAAAUAUCAUAACCCCACUCCAACUAAUACCGAGGUUUUUUGUGAUAAAACCCACACCUGACGGAUUGUGUAGGUGGUAAUUACCAAGUUGGGGAUAGUAUCAGUGUUGUUGAAAGUGGGUAUUUGGCCCGUUUAUCUGAUAAUUCUACAAAGAGGACAUAUAUUUUUUAGUGUCCCUUGGUAAAGAUUGUCGUAGUAUUUAUAAUAAAGUUACUUGUAUUAUGACAUAUGAUGUAUAUAUUUAUAUUCCGUAUACACAAAAAUCUCUCUCAAGUUGGGGAUACUUGUGAAUAGCAUGUAUCACAUGACAAUGUCGGGUCACUAUUAGGAAUGCAGUACACCUCGCAUGUGCUAUUUUGUACAUAUGCGACCAAAUCUGGAAAAUGUCAGCGAAGCAAUUUACCAGGGACCAAUAAACAACGAUGCGAUGCAUUUGGGAACUCGAGGUGUGUGUGUUACGUUACGUACACGGAGGGCUAACUGUAUGACGGGUCCAACAAAUCUUACAAUGCGAUGCAUUUGCGAACUCGAGGUGUGUGUGUUACGUUACGUACACGGAGGGCUAACUGUAUGACGGGUCCAACAAAUCUUACAACAGCAUGAUAUCUCGGGUCCUAAUAAGUGAGAGAUUUUUUUAUAGGGAAUUUUAACGAAAAACUCUUAGUAUUGUUUAUUUUAACGAAAAAUUACAUUUUUACACUAAAAAGUCAAUCCUGAUACCAUUAACUUUACCCUUUAUUUUGUACUUAUCGUUAAAACUCAAAGUUUUCAAGUUUUUUUAUUAAUUUUCCUUUUUUUAUAUGCUUGAAAUAUGGGGCAAACACAACAUUUUUUUAUACAAUUGGAGGGAUACACUAAAAAAAAAAAUCCAAAUUGUUCACACCUUUUUUAUAUUUUUGGUUGUGAGGAAUGCCAUCAAGCCCAAUCAACAAAAUUAAUUAGUUUCGGUAUAGUAUCUGCUUUUGUUUAGGUUGUAAACACUUAUGAGACCAUUUCUAACCAUUGGGCUAAAACCUAACAUUUUUAACCCAGAAAAUUUAGGUUUUAGCCCAUAAACAGUUUUUCUGCCUCAAUCUUUCUGACCUAAAAUUUUAGCCCCAGAUUGUAAGAAUAUUUUAAUAUUCUAAAGUGGUCCAUAUGACACGGUCCAUAUGAUAUGUAGGGUUUAACGGAGAUUAUCAUUUGUAAAUAAUCCUAUUGGUCAAAUUAUGAGAAAUGUUUCCUAUCAAAUUACUGUGAUGGGUGGUAAUUGAUUAUGGACUUUAAAUGGAAACGAGUCCUCUCUCUGCCUCACUUAUAUAUAUAUAUAUAUAUAUAUAUAUAUAUAUAUUGCAUAUACCCAUCUAAUAUGCACUUGAUAGAAAAACACGAUUAGGGUUUUCACGUGCAAAUAGAGGCAAGAGAGAGAACACCUAUUUCCUCCGCCGUUGACAGAAUCCGUUUGGGAUCUCAUAGCGUUCGUUGUCAUGGAUCAAGGUACGCUUGGUUGUUUAAUGUAUUUCCGGAAAUUAUUUGUAUGUGAAAAUCAUGAAGUUCGAUGAUCUUGGCUUAAUUGUUUUAAGAUUUACAUGUGGUAUCAGAGCCUGGUUGAGAGCUCUCAUGAUUUUCCAAUUACGAUUAUGAACUUUAACUGAAUCGACUUGAUUAGGGUUUUGUUUCGAAAUAAAUUAUGAUCCGCUGUGCUAUUUUGAAAUAACCUAAUCGCUGUUUUGAAUUGUGAAUGUUCUUUAUAUAUUGUAAAUUGCACUCGGCAAGAAUAUUUUUAAUUAUGAUGUUGCUGCUUACUGUCAGCAUAAUUUUUUAAAUCUGCAAGAACGGAAUCGGUGGUUAAUUAGGGUGCAAUGUCUGCUGUUUUGAGACAGACAUGAUUGUAUUUUAUUUGCAUGUAUUGAUUAUGCAUGUUGGGAUUAAGAAAUUGUAAUCUUAGUUUUAUUACAAUUUUUGCCGAAUUGCAUAUUUGGGUAUGGAAAUUAUGAUGCAAUUUGGGCGAUUCUUUUAGUUGGAAUUAGUUAAAGUAAUUUGAAUACCUAUGACUGAUCAUUACGAUUAUAAACGUCAUUCAUUUAAUUUGUAAUUCGUCUUACGAAAUUAUUUGCAAGUCACCAAAGUGGCCAAACUAGAAAGAUUACAUGGAUUCAAAUUAAAUGAUGAUUAAUCAAUUACUCAUGGUAGGAUGAUGCAUAUGAACGAACAAAACCUUAUUAUGUUUUAAAGGUUUGUACAUGAGUAAUAUGUUUUUCAUUUGUCAUAAGUUCUUAAGGGUCACCCAAAGGUAGACUAAUUGCUCAUAUGAUUGAUGAUAUGAAUGUGUUGAGAAUUGUAUAUUUCAUUUUUAUUUGUUCGGAUAUCCAAAGAUAAUGAAACCUGUCUUAUUAGAGAUGUACAAUUAUCAAUAAGGUAUUAUGCAUCGAUUAUUGUUUGUAUUGUUGUAGUAUCUACCCAAAGGAGAAUAUGAUAAUACACUUAUUGUUAUUACACGUGUUUUUUUUUAUUACUCAAAGCAGUAAUGUUGUGAGCACUUUUGAAUUGCAGUGUCGGUGCCUGUUUCUCUUCAUUCACUUGCUCCAUCUAUUCCCUCACUUAAUGGAACAAAUUUCUCAGAUUGGAGUGAGCAAGUUCAGUUUCACCUUGGUGUCCUGGAUCUUGAUUUAGCACUCCGAACUGACAAACCUGCUGCUCUUACGAAUACAAGCAGCACUGAGGAAAAAUCUCUCUAUAAUGCCUGGGAGAGAUCGAAUAGAUUGAGCAUGAUGUUUAUGCGAAUGACUAUAAUGAGCAACAUAAAGACUGGCCUUCCUCAAGCUGAAACUGCUAAGGAAUACUUGAAAAAUAUUGAGACUCGUUUCAAGACUGCUGACAAGUCUCUUGCUGGGACAUUAAUGGCUGAGCUUACCACCAAGAAAUUUGAUAGUAUGCGAAGCAUGCAUGAGCAUGUCCUUGAAAUGACUAAUAUAGCAGCAAAGCUAAAGACUCUUGGAAUGAAUGUGGAUGACUCAUUUCUUGUUCAAUUUAUUUUGAACUCCUUGCCUCCUCAGUAUGGGCCAUUUCAAAUCAACUAUAAUGCUAUUAAGGACAAAUGGAAUGUUGAUGAAUUGGCCACAAAACUCGUUCAAGAGGAGGGAAGGCUUAAGCAGCAAGGAGAACAUUCCGUUCAUUUAGUAAGUCAAGGAGCUGAAAGAAAAUUUGGAAGAAAGCCUGGAAAGGGCAAGAAAAGAGGAUCACCCAAGGUGAAUGGACCUGCUAAUGCUACUCAGGCUCAUGAUAAGGAACAUAAAAGUGAUUUUAUGUCGCUUCUGUAGGAAGCCUGGGAAUUAUCAAAAGAAUUGCCAGAAAUUCAAGGAAUGGUUCGAAAAGAAAGGUGAGCCUUUGGCUUAUGUAAGUUUCGAAUCAUAUUUAACUGAAGUUCCUUAUAAUACUUGGUGGGUUGACUCUGGUGCUACAGCUCAUAUUUCUAAUUCGAUGCAGGGAUUCCUUACGACCCACACUUUAAAUCCAAAUGAAAAUUUCAUUUUCAUGGGGAAUCGAGUCAAAGCUCCAGUUGAAGCUGUUGGAACUUUUCGUUUAAUUUUGGAUACUGGAUAUUGUUUGGAUUUAUUUCAGACACUUUAUGUUCCUAGUUGUUCCAGAAAUUUGGUUUCAGUCUCGAAGCUUGACCGUAAUGGAUUUUUUAUAAAGUUUGGUAAUGAAUGUUUCAGUUUAUAUAAGAAUACCUCUUUUGUUGGUUCUGGUAUUCUAAUAGGUGAGCUGCAUAAUUUAAAACUCAAUAAUCGUUUUGCUGAAACACUUUUGACCUUGCAUCAUAAUGUUGGAACUAAGCGUAGCCUAAACAAUGAAAAUUCUUCAUUCUUGUGGCAUAAACGACUGGGUCAUAUAUCCAGAGAAAGGUUAGAAAGAUUAGUAAAGAAUGAGAUUCUUCCAAACCUAGAUUUUACUGAUCUCGGUGUGUGCGUGGAUUGUAUUAAGGGCAAACAAACCAAACACACCAAGAAAGGAGCUACAAGAAGUUCAGAGCUUCUUGAAAUAAUUCAUACAGACAUAUGUGGACCUUUUGAUGCUCCAUCUUUUAGCGGAGAAAAAUAUUUUAUCACCUUUAUAGACAAUUUUUCACGUUACGGCUAUAUUUAUCUGUUGAAAGAAAAGUCUGAAUCAGUGAAUUCCUUUCAGGUGUUCAUUAUUGAAGUUGAAAGACAAUUAGAUAAAAAGGUUAAGAUUGUCAGGUCGGAUAGAGGUGGUGAAUUUUAUGGAAAAUAUGAUGAAUCAGGACAAUGUCCUGGUCCUUUUGCAAAACUCCUUGAAAAGCAUGGCAUAUGUGCCUAAUACACUAUGCCAGGUACGCCACAGCAGAAUGGUGUUGCUGAAAUGCGUAAUCGUACUCUUAUGGACAUGGUUAGGAGUAUGUUAAGUAAUGCAUAUUUGCCUAUAUCAUUAUGGAUGUAUGCUCUUAGGACUGCUGUAUACUUAUUAAACCGGGUUCCUAGUAAGGCAGUUCCGAAAACACCAUUUGAAUUGUGGACAGGAAGGAAACCUAGUUUAAGGCACUUGCAUGUUUGGGGAUGCCCAGCAGAAAUAAGAAUUUAUAAUCCGCAUGAAAAUAAGUUGGAUUUUAGAACGAUUAGUGGUAACUUUAUUGGUUACCCAGAAAAAUCCAAAGGAUAUAGGUUUUACUGUCCUAAUCAUAGUACGAGAAUUGUUGAAACUGGCAAUGCCAGAUUCAUUGAAAGUGGUGAAAUUAGUGGGAGCGAAAAACCUAAAGAAUUGGUCAUUAAUGAAGUUAGGGUGCAGAUUCCUACACCUAUAAUUUCUAAGCAAGUUGUUGUUCCUAUACAUGUUGAACCGUUAGACAAUGUUGAACAACAAAUUAAUGACCAUCCGCUCCAGAAUGAGAUUAUCACAAAUGAAAAUGUAGUGGAAGAACCACAAGAAAUAACAUUAAGGAGAUCUUAAAGAGAACGGAAAAGUGCUAUUUCAGAUGGUUAUGUGGUAUAUUUACAAGAGUCUGAUGUUGAUAUAGGAAUAAAUAAAGAUCCGGUUUCGUUUUCACAGUCGUUAACUGUAUUGAUUCUAGUAAAUGGAUUGAUGCCAUGAAUGAUGAGUUAAAAUCAAUGGACAAAAAUGAAGUCUGGGAUCUCGUUGAAUUGCCUAAAGGUUGUAAGAGAGUUGGGUGUAAGUGGGGUUUUAAGACCAAACGCGACUCUAAUGGCAAUAUAGAAUGAUAUAAAGCCAGAUUGGUGGCCAAAGGUUUUACUUAGAAAGAAGGCGUUGAUUACAAAGAGACUUUCUCACCAGUUUCAAAGAAAGACUCUUUUAGAAUCAUUAUGGCAUUAGUAGCUCAUUAUGAUUUAGAGUUACAUCAAAUGGAUGUGAAAACGGCAUUCUUGAAUGGGAGUUUGGAAGAAGAAGUCUACAUGGAUCAACCUGAAGGCUUCGCAUUAAAGGGAAAGGAACACAUGGUCUGUAAACUAAAGAAGUCAAUAUACGAACUUAAACAAGCUUCACGACAAUGGUAUCUUAAGUUUGAUAAUAUCAUUGUAUCCUUCGGUUUUAAAGCAAACAUCGCUGAUCGAUGUACAUAUCUGAAGGUCAGUGGGAGCAAGUUUAUCUUUCUAAUUAUGUAUGUUGAUGACAUUUUGCUUGCUAGUAGUGAUCUUGGUCUAUUACAUGAGACCAAACAGUUUCUCUCGGAGAAUUUUAAAUGAAAGAUAUGGGUGAGGUGGCCUAUGUGAUAGGAAUUGAAAUAUUCCGAGAUAGAUCACAUGGAGUGUUAGGCUUGUCUUAAAAAGCAUAUAUUGAGAGAGUUCUAGAGAGAUUCGGUAUGGAAAAAUGUUCAUCCAGUGUUGCUUCAAUUCAGAAAGGGGAUAAGUUUAGCCUUAUGUAAUGCCCACAAAAUGAAUUGGAGCGUGCACAAAUGGAAAGUAUUCCUUAUGCAUCUAUUGUAGGAAGUCUGAUGUAUGCACAAACUUGUACCAGACCAGACAUCAGUUUUGCAGUUGGGAUGUUAGGCAGAUACCAAAGUAACCCAGGAAUGGAUCACUGGAAAGCUGCAAAGAAAGUGAUGCGGUAUUUGCAAGGAACGAAAGACUAUAUGCUCACGUAUAGAAAAUCUAAUAACCUAGAAGUUAUUGGUUAUUCAGAUUCAGAUUUUGCUAGAUGCAUUGAUAGCAGAAGAUCAACUCUUGGUUACUUGUUUCUCUUAGCUGGAGGAGCAAUUUCCUGGAAGAGUACAAAGCAAGAUGCUAUUGCUAUAUCCACCAUGGAAGCUGAAUUUAUAGCAUGCUUUGAGGCUACAAAUCAUGGAUUAUGGUUACAGAAUUUUAUCUCAAGGCUUGGCGUUAUUGAUUUCAUUGCUAAGCCGUUGAGAAUUUUCUGUGACAAUGCUGCCGCUGUCUUCUUCUCCAAGAAUGACAAGUAUUCUAAUGGUGCUAAACACAUGGAUAUAAAAUACUUGACUCUUAAGGAGGAGGUUCAGAAACAAAUAGUGUCUAUUGAGCACAUAAGCACAAUGCUUAUGAUCGCAGAUCCCUUGACAAAGAGACUGGGGCCGAAGGCAUUUAAUGAUCAUGUUGAAAGAAUGGGUCUUGGUUGUAGUCCAUGAUGAUUGUCAUUUUUUUUUUAAUUUUGUGAAGGGAAAAUUAUGAGUUUUCACAUAUAGGGAUUUCAAAAAGACUAUCAUGCAUAUACAAAUCAAAUUUAAUAUACGAAAGCAGCGGAAGCAUUUAUAACAAAUUAUCAAAGCUAUAGUCAUGCAAAUCCCCUUCAAUGUUCAUAGGUUUAUAUAUAAUGCAUCAGAGCAAUUUUAGAGAAGAACAAAGUGAAGGUUUAGUCUAAUACCUCUUGAUCUAGACUUGAGACCAUGGAUGGACCACCUCCAAGCCCUUUGUUCCUUGAACUCCUUGAGCCUAGCUUUCCUCCUUGCCUCCUCCACUUUGUUAGAAUGAGUGCUCCUAGGUUCUCUUCAAGUUUCCAAAGUAGGAAACCUCUAAAGAUCCUCACCCACUAGUGUAGUGAGAAGGAUGAAGGAAUAACCAAAAGGGUGAAAGAUGUGUUAGUAAAAACACCCCUAAGGUGGCCGCCCUUUGUAGUGUUAGAGAGCUAUUUUUCUUUUGCCUCUUUGUUGUUUUAACACUUCAAAAACCCUAAUGAACAAUAUCUCUAUAAAGUUCCUUAUAUAGACAAAAGGAAACCUAGUCAACCACUUGACUAAAUAUCUCUCCAUUUCCACUUAAAGUGGCCGGCCUCUUGUGUUGGAUUUGGGCUUUUGGGCUUUUAUAUAUUUCAAGUCAUCCAAUGCUUGAAUAAAAGUCCAAUGGGCCCAAUUAAACCCGAACGUUUCUUUAAGCCCAAAACGAUCUUUAUCGCUUUUAUGAUUUCUUUAGACUUUCUAAAUUAAUCACAACACUUAAUUAAUCCAAUUAAUUAUUUCCAUCAUCCAUUAGUUACUCACUACAAUAGUGUAUUGGUGAACAAUCUUGUAGGUUCUAAUUAGCAAGGCAGUGAGGUGAUUGGCACCAAUCCAAUUGAUUAUAUUUAAUCCAAUCACUUAGUGAAUUAAAACAUACUUUUAAUUCACCUUCUUCUUUGACGACUACAUUUAAUCAUUUAGAAGAACUCACAAGCCAUGAGUGACAUCUAACCAUAUAUCAUGGCUACCCAAGCUAAUGUAGAAGUUUGUUCGGAGAACCUAUUCAGUUGGAAUUACAAUGUAAUUCGAUCCUUCUCUAAAACAAUACUCUCAAUCACAUUACUUGGGUAUGGAAAUAUUAUGUCAAACCCCUAAUGUGAUUAUUCCUUCUUAUAUGAUUCUUUUGAGUCGUAUAGGAACGCUUUCCUUUAUUACGCUCGAUACUUCGGCCAAAGAUUCCCGAAUCAUAUCUUAGAGUAUUCUUCCUCUCUUAUCGAGGAUUAGAGAUUCCUUGUUGCGCAUACACUUGCCUUCAUGACUAAGUGGCUUAACCCCAAUUAUGCCGUGGACACCCGUGAAUGGGGAGACUUUGACAUAAUCAAAGAUUAAGUACUUAACCACAAGACAACGACGAUGCCUCAAGUCAAAGGACUACUUACAUUAUUCCAACCAUUAGAGUUACUUGCUUGACAUGUGAGUAGACCUCCAUGCAAGUACUCUCGUUCGAUUGUGUUCAGUGAACUCAUUCCCUUAAUGAGCACCUACAUACUUGUCUUAGUGUCACAACACGAAUGGGAUGAGACUUUCCAUCCUUCCAUUUGAAGCAGACACAAUAUGUACCGGUCUAAGCAUUGUCAGUAUCCCUCCGACAAUCCAAUGACCAGGAACAUUUUUGGACAUUUGGUUAUAUGAAGAAGGUCUCUGUAGUCUAACAUCAUUAGAUUACUUCUUCAAUUGAUCCAUUGUCCAUGGAUACACUAUUUAGGACAUAUAUCGUUUAUUGAGAUAGUCCUAAUUAGUAUCUUUGCCAUUUGAUGUAUAAGAUUCAUCUAUACAUCGAUUUAUUUGUCCUGAAAGGUUUCUUCCAAAGAUUGACUUUCAAGGCAUAUUUCCAACAUUUUGUUUAUGAGAAUUUGUUUAAUGACAGUAUUGUGCUUGACACUCUGAGCUCGAUAAUUGAACAUGUUUCUGGUAUUUCCUGUUUUCCAUUAUAUGUAUACAUUUAUGAGAUCGGAUGAAUGAUAACAGGAAUGUCUCUGACAAAGACAUUAUCGGACCUAUAUAUGUAUUUCUCACUAACAGACUGUUUUAGGUAAUUGCUAGUGUUGUGGUGCAUGGAAGGGACUACGUCGCUCGUUGAUGUACAACCGCCAUGACUCACACUAGUGAAUUGCUUAAGAUCAAUAAUUAUGUUAACCAAUUGAUAGUAAGGAUUAUUUUGAACUUUACUGCGCGCUUAAUGUUUAUUUUUUAAACCUGAAAAGGAACAUGUGUCACUAUGGACCAAGUGGGAGAAUGUAAGAAUAUUUUAAUAUUCUAAAGUAGUCCAUAUGACACGGUCCAUAUGAUAUGUAGGGUUUAAUGGAUAUUAUCAUUUGUAAAUAAUCAUAUUGGUCAAAUUAUGAGAAAUGUUUCCUAUCAAAUUAUUGUGAUGGGUGGUAAUUGAUUAUGGGCUUUAAAUGGAAACGGGUCCUCUCUUUGCUUCACUUAUAUACAUUGCAUAUACCCAUCUAAUAUGCACUUGAUAGAAAAACACAAUUAGGGUUUUCACGUGCAAAUAGAGGCAAGAGAGAGAACACAUAUUUCCUCCGCCGUUGACAGAAUCCGUUUGGGAUCUCAUAGCGUUCAUUGUCAUGGAUCAAGGUACGCUUGGUUGUUUAAUGUAUUUCCGGAAAUUAUUUGUAUGUGAAAAUCAUGAAGUUCGAUAAUCUUGGCUUAAUUGUUUUAAGAUUUACACAGAUUAUUAAAGAAUAAAUUUAGGCUAAUUUUUUUUUCUUAAAGUAACUUUUUUUAAAGAAAAAAAAUUAUGUAGACUAUCAUGAUUUAAUUUUAUGAACGUUUUAACCUAAAAAUAUUUAUAUUCUGACAAAUAUUGAAAAAUCACAAACCGACACCAUGAAACUAGUUCAUCACUAUGAAAAAAACAUGAAAUACAUAAAAGAUUUUUUUUUAAUUACUUUAGCCGUUAUAUUUAAAUUUGGACCGUUAAAAUUUUUUUUUACCGUUGAAUUUCAUCAAAUUAGAUCUUAACAGUUAGAUUCAAUGAAUUUAUAAAUAUAAAACUAAAUAAAAUACACAUAUAUAGUGGGUCAGCCCUACUAAUCCUGGGCUAAAUCAGACUUUUUUUUUAGGUUUUAGCUUUUAGCCCACACAUUUAGCAUGGGUUGGGUUGGGUUGGGUUUGAAAGAAAUAAAACUUAAAAAAUAGCAUUUAGCCCAGGAUUAGGUUUAAUCUAAGUGCUGGAUUAAUGUCCCAGCGUCCUAUCCGGAUUGACCCAUUUCAAUAUAUUAAAAACGUGAGAAAGUGGUUGACAAGUGUACAAAUAAUAUAUGCGUUUGGUAUGUGAAUUUUGUGUGGUUUAUGUGUAUCAGCGUAUUUGGUUGAAUACGAUUUAUGUAAUACUAAUAAUAUUGUGAGUUUUUAAUUGACCUAAACCAGAACUUCUUAUUAAUACUAUAACUUUAGUCCAUAAAAUAUCAACCACAUCCUUCACUAAAAAAAUCUGACAACGUGAAAAACAUAUUUGAAUGUGUUUAUUCAUAAAUCUUAUCACGGUCUAUCACAAAUAGGGUCGAUAUUAUUUCAAUUUAACCAUUUAUUAUUAGAUGUUGGAUUUUAUCACAAAAGUCUUCAAUGAUAUUUGCUGUAAAAAUUCUCUUAUUAAUACAUUAUUUUGUCAUACCUCCGAUGCGCAACUCAAUUCUCUAACAUUUAUCGGUUUAAGUAAAUCUCCAAACAACUUUCACAACUAGAUGGAAUGCAUAACAAUAAAAUAGAGGCCAUUUUCUAAGGGAUUAGGACUCUCUCCCCUUUCCCCUCCUAUUUGAACAACCACAAUUAAGUUAGGUCAACAUCUUGUGUUGCUUUCUUUAUAAAGAGAGAAAUACAAUGAAAAUGUAAGAGAAGAGGAGGAAAAUGGAUGAAAAUUGGAGGGGGAGAGAUUCCAAGAUAGUUAGCUCAUCUGUUUUCACUCACAAAACUUAAAGGUGAUGUUUUCUUGCCUAGUUGUAUCUCUUUGUUUGUAGGCUUUUGUUUUCUGUGAUCCAGAUAAAUUAAUUUCUCUUUUGACACAGUCACACUAGGGGAUUUCCAUUUACAAUAUUGAUCAUGUUGUUGACACACUCUCAAAUAGAUGUGAAAUGUGAGACAUCCUGUCUAAACUAUAGCUUGACACCAAUUUUGAGUGUUUAAAUGACGUUUCUUUUUCUUCUUUUGUGUAAUUAUAAAUUCCAAUAUCUGAUUUUUGUCUAAUUUACCGUAAAUAUUUGGUAGAUCUCUUGUCUCUUUUCCCUUGCUCUUCUCUUCCCCUUUUCUUUUUCUUUUUUUCAUAUGUUUUAUCUGUUCCCUUCUUAUCUCUUCACCAAAUAGGACAAAAUUGAUCAAAGUAAGCUGAAUUUGAACCGAACUAGUUAACUUUUUAUUUUAAUUUUCAAUUUUUUGGGAUGGAAGUAAAUCAAACCAAAGCGUUCUCACCCAUACUUAGUCAGUGCUAAGCAUGUUUAUCAGGAAUUGAACACAUCUGCUGACUUCAUGCUCCUUGUGAGCUCUAAGUUGUUUAUUUAGUAUUUUACAACUGAUAAAUUUUCGUAGUCACAUUUUUCAAACCAUCGAAAGUUUGUGUUAGUAUGCUUGGAAAUUUAAUAAUAAUAUUAUUAUAUUAAAUUUAUUAAUUGAAUGGAAAUUAGAAGUGGAGACCUUUGGUAGAAAAAUGUGUCUAUUCAAAUGAAGAAUUGCAACUUUUGACUCUUCAUGAAUAGUCAUGUUUUCCAAAGAAGUAUCUCAAAAUCUAUAAAUAGGAAAGUCUCUAUAAACAUAAAUAAUUUUCAUUGUUUACAUAAUCAUAUAUAGAGUGCACUAAAUAUUAAAGAGACUCAUUUAGUCCAUAUGACAUGCCCCGAUCCCGAUAUCCCCAAAUACCAGGAUAUGCACGUGCUGACCGAUACCCCGAUGGUGAUGAAGCCAUUUUUAACAUGCAUGCAAGUUAUAAAGAAGAAACAAACAUAAGUAAAUAAGUGAAUUUAAAUAUAUGAAAAUGUGUGGAUGCGGGAACGUGUUCAGAGCAUAUAUCUAAUCAAGAAUAGUGAGAAAGGAAUUUAAGAAAUAAAUGUGAUUACAAAGAAAGUGGGUCCUACCUCGAGGGGACUCGAAGAUACCAAUGCGGGAGUGCCUUGACGUCGUGAUCGUACGCCUCAAUCCUAAGUCCUGAAAAGGGCUCAAAACAAAACAUGAGUGGACUAAAGUUGUUAAUAAUAAUAAUAAUAAAUUUAUUUCUUUUUGAACAUACUAACCCCCUGUUCUGAAAACACCAUAUAAAUACUACAUAGUAGGGUUUUCUGAAACUCUAAUAUGCCAUAAAACCAUCGUAGACCAUGUAUGUAUAAAACAAUGUUGAAUAAUGGUUAUAUAGUCACCCGAAGGCAAAUCUGUAAAAGCUCGUAAAUCAUAUAACUAUGUACUCAAUUAGGGGUAUCAUAGUCUGUAAUACCUUGAAAAAUUUAAGUAUAUGAAUUUGAUAUUCAUAAUUAUGAAUAUGUGGGGAAAAAUAGAAAUUAAAUCUAUUUAUGGUUAUGGAAAUUUAAUUGGGAGAUUUUAAAAUUUUGUUACCAGAAAUUAUUAUAAUUUAUGUUGUAAAAAUUUAUCGAUAAGGGAAAAAGAUGAAAAUGCACUAGUUGGUUUAACGUAAUUAUACGAGGACGUAUUUUAUCCUCGUAUAUAUUUUAUUGUAUUUCUUGAUAUAUUUGGAUAGAGCUCGACCCUACGAAAACGUAAGCAAAAAUCGUUUGUGAAUUGAAGUUGAAACGAAGAUAUUAGAGGUUUUUUUUUUUUUUUUUUUUUAAAAAAAAAAAAAAAAAGGAGUCUGGAAGUUGCUAGAGGGCAAAUGAGGGGGAAAACCCGGUUCCCCUUGACUUGCCCGACUCGACUGAGUACCACAACCAAAUUUGAUCCUUUAUCUGGGCAAUUUCUGGUGAAUUGCGUUGAUUCACUACCUGAAAAUUUAUCCUCGGCCUCUCAUCUCCCCGUUACACCAUAAAUCCUAGUUAAUUAGAUCUUGAUUUGGAAAAAAAUAGCACCAUGGGUGUGUCGAGUGCUCGGCUCGGAAUCACCAAAAUCUGAAGCUAACUCUCUCCACCACCACCACCAAUCAACUCCGCACAACCUCAGGAACAAAGCCCAAGUAAUGGUGGAGGCAUUGGAGCGAAUAUGGAGGUGGAAUCGAAGCACACCCAAUUCUAGGGUUCAGGCGGUUCAUGGGCGAUUUCUCGGCCCAGGUAUAAAAAUUACUCCCCUAAUUGAGAUCUACAUGCCUGUAAAAUUUGGUAAUUUUUGGAAAUAGUUGAAUUUUCCGACGAGUCAGGACGGCCGGCCUCCGUGUGCGGCAACGCGUGGGCCAAGACCCUACCUGCUCUUCCUAGAUUAAUUUGGAUACCCUGAUUCCAUAUGUGGCGUUCGAUUUAUGAAAUCUCGUCGUAUGACUAUGAUUUUGAUAAAAACCGCCACUUAAAUUUGCAAUUAGCGGAGAUCCAACCGUUGGAACGUAAUGAAAUUUUAGUAUGUUGUUCUAGAUGUAUAAUGUGGAUGUUGAUAAGUUACGGAUUAUAAAUCUGAUAGGCAGAUCAUCCGGUUUAAAUUUCUAGGGUUGUGAACCCUAUACUUGAUCUUGAUCGACGGGUGACUUUUUAUAGUCAACUAAACCGAGUUUCUAGCGUGCUAUUUAUCUUAGAGUGUUGUUGACAUUUCAUGAAGUUUAGUGGGCUCAUUGCGACGACGGGUGGCUUGAUUUACCUACAAGUGACUAUAAUAUAGGUGAUUUAUAUUGAAUUGUUAUUUUAUUUUAUUGCCAUUGAUCUACAUUUGUGAAUUGUGAAAUACGAUUGACUUGAUCUCUCUAAAGGGUACGUAGGCAGUCUAACGAGAAGUUAGAUGCAUCCAUAAAAUAAAUGAGAUCGAAUUUUAGUGGAAAAUCAUCAAAUUGCGAAGUGUUAGAAUGGUUAUUAACAUAAAGGGUAACUAUGACAUUUUUGGCUUACCACUAAAUGUAAAUUCUGAAAUAUAUUGGCGGGGCAUUACAUAGUCUCCGAAGGCCCAACCAUCACCCCGAGGGUGAAGCUGUACAACACGAGGUUACACCGCUGAAGAAACAUGAUAGGUCCCAUUACCCGAAGGUGAAACUGUACGACUCUGGGUUACGCCAUAGAAGAAAUAUACAUAACACGGACACUAGCUGUGGCUAGUGAAGCUGUCCGACACUAGUUUCGCCAAUGAAGCUAGGCGUAUGUCAUAAAUAUCUCACUACUCAUCAAACUGUGUCCUAUGGUCAUAAACAGAUACAUACUCGUGUUGUGUUUAUGAGUUGUAUGAUUACCCACUAAUAAGUACAAAAAACAUAAAUAAAACUUUUCAUAUCAAAUCCUCGGAGCUCAAAAGCUCAAACAUCAUAUCAUAAAUCCAUAGGAGCGUUCUAGCUGAAAUCAUCAUCAUAAACCAUAAUAAAUCAAUCAUGUGAAAUCAUAAAUUCAUAUAAAUCCGUAAUAUUUCAUAAGGCGUAAAUCCAAUAAUUCGUAACGUUUCGUAAAACGUAAAUUCGAUAAAUUAUAAAUAUAUUUCAUGAAACAUAAAAUCAGGAAAUCAUGCUUUUCAUGAAUGCAAUACGAGCAUUUAAUAAAAAUUAUGCAUUUUGAGAAGAGGGUCACUCACAGAUACUUGUGAGGUCGCAGCCGUUUGAACUAGGAAAGUCGGAGUCUCCAAUAGUAAUCGCACCUAAGCAUAAUAUUGGGACCCAUUCGUAAAACUCAACUAAAACUUUUAAAUUUGGGAAAACAGAGUGCAAAUUUGGAUCAGGGCGUUGAAAUAUCCUAAGAGGAGUCCCGGGCAAAUUUCGUAAAAAGUCAACGGGAAAGUCAAUGGUCAACUACAUUAAAACUUUAGAAUUUCACUAAAUAGAUGUCAAAAACAGCUUGGGGCAUCGAAAUAAGCUUAGGAGAGUUUCCGAAAAAGUUUAGUAAAAGUGGACGCAAAGAAUAUUUCAAAGAAUAUUCUAAGAAUAUUCCAAAGAAUAUUUCAAGAAUAUUUCAAAUGAUUUAUUAUUAUUAUUUUAAACUUUGGUCAUGUCACGUUUUGUUUUGCAUCCCCUUCAGGUAGAAUCGAGGCAUACGAUCCCAAUGUCAAGGUACUCCCACAUCGGUAUCUUCAAGUCCUCGGUGUAGGAUUCACUUUCUUUGUAAUCACAUUUAUUUCAUAAUAUUCCUUUUGCACUAUUCUUGAUUAGAUGUAUGUUUUGAACACAUUCCCGGAUCCACACAUUUUCAUUAUAUUUAAAUUUAGGGACACUUUGGAUGCAGUCCCUAACUACCAAUAUUCUUUGAUCGAAGUCCCUGAUAUUAAUGUAAUAAUAUAUUUCUAUGUAGGUUACUAUAUUCUUAAAUUAAAGUUAUUUAUAUUAAUGAGAUUUUAAAUAAAACCCAUAAUUUAUAGGGAGUUUUAACGAAAAGACCACGGUUCUGUUCACUUUAACGAAAAAUCACAUUUUUACACUAAAAAGUCAAUCAUUGUACUAUUCACUUUACUCUUUAUUUUGUCCUUGUCGUUAAAACUCAAAGUUUUCGAACCCUUUUUAUUAAUUUUCCUUAAUUUAUGGAAGUAAAAAUAUUAAAGAUGAAUUAUACUCUCCAAUAUAUUGCGCAUGUGUGUAUAUACACACACAGGGGCACGUUCUUCAAAGCUAACUAAACAAUUAUUGUACCAAAAUAUGGGUACAUUUUUCAAAACACAAAAAAAAAAGGCUUAAUAACAUUAUCAAAUUUCUUUUAUUAAGCUUGACAUGGAUACAUUCUCAAAUCAACGAAAUAGAAUGUGCUCAUAUAGUUAAAAAAAAGGUACAUUUUUCAUAUGACAAAUUAGUAUAGUUAAGAAUUGAAUUUUUUUUUUAUAAAAAGUUAAUGGUUACAAACUUAUUCUAAUUUUAUUUUUUUAUAUUUUGGAAAUGUUUGAAUUGAAAAUUAAUUAGGAGUUUAAUAAGGGUGUGAGUAUUAAAACUCUAAAUCAAUUACUAAUUUUUAUUAUAAAAAUUAUGUAACUUACAUAAAAUUCAUUAAUAUAUUAAUACUAGGGACUUUGAUCAAAAUCUAAAAACUAAUAAGGUCUUAGUUAAUAAACAUUAGAAACCAGGGACCAUAUACUAAUUUUUUUACUUAUUUUAUUUAUGUUCAUUUCUUCUUUAUAACUUGCAUGCAUGUUAAACAUAGCUUCGUCAUCCUUGGGUGCUGGCCAGCACGUGCCUAUCCUAGUAUUUGGGGAUAUCGAGAUCAGGGCGUGUCGCCAUAUGAGAGGGUUUCAACAGAAUUGUGGUUCAUGGAGCCUUGUGAUUUGACUACUAGAAUUAUGGCUAUAGGAUACCGAUGUUUACACACCAUUUGCAAUUGGUGUCCAUAGACAUAAAGCAAGCACUCUUAGUUUUUUUUGGUGUCUUUAUAGUUGGAUGCCACUGAUAUCGGUGGCCUUCAAAAUUUAGACACCAACCAUUGGUGUCUGUUAAAUAACUUUUAUUCUUAAAAAUACUUUUUUUGUGCAUUUGUGAUUAACUGGGCACCAAUACAAUUUAUUGAACACCAAUACAACAAAUAAAAAUUGAGAGCUAUUCUCUCCCCUGUGAGAGUCUUUCUCACUGUUGUGUGAGUGGUCUUUUGCUCUCUUUGAUUUGCGUCGGCGCCGGCCUUAGCUUUGGUUAGGGUCGGUGCCAGUCCUUUGUUUUUCAUGUGUGCUUUGUUUCUGUGGUUUGUUGGGUUUUAGCUUUUUUUGUUGCCUGUAUGUUUUCCUCCCCUUCUCUGCCACUUUCACGAUAUGCUUCUAUCCUUUCUCCUUUUACUUUUGAUCUCACCUUUUUGAGACCAAACCUCAAAUCCCCCGUUUCCUACAUCCUCUUUGACCAUUUCCCCCUCUUUGACCCACCCCCUCCAUCUACUGCAUCAUCUUGGCCUACCAUCUAUCCCCCAUCUUUCACCCUUACCUCUGUCCUCAAUUCCGGUUGGUUACCGUCUCAGUUUACCGCGAUCUAUCGCGGAUCUUUGGGAGGAUGUGUAGAGCUUUAGAUCGGGUGUUCGCAGCACCACCACCCUUGUUGAUUGUUGUUGGUCUUUCCCGUAGUUCACCCUUGCCGACGUUAUUGCUCGUGGGUUCUCCCUGCGUGCUUCCUUGUUCUCCUGACGACGGUUCUUGCUGGUACUUUGAGAAAGUUGUGGCUUUUGUCUUAAUCAUUUCUAUGGUUUUUGGUGGUGUGAUCUUAAGUGAUCGUGAUUGGAGGCUAACCAUGACGUUUGUUGGGAGGCUCUCCGGUGUUGGUUUCGGCGUCUCCAGCUUUUAGAAGACUAGUUUUUUAGGUUUUUCUAUGUUGUUUGUUUGUGUGUGUUGUACUCUAAGGUUGGGCUUGGGGCUUUGCCUUUUGUUUGUGUGUGGCCCCUUUUUGUUUGUGUAUAACUUGUUUUGGGCCUUUGUUGUACUUGUGUUUGUUGAUAAUAAAUUUUACCCUUUGUCCAAAAAAUAAAAAAAAACCAAAUAAAACAAAUAAAAAAACCAUUAAACCUCUCUCCCCUUCACAAAAGUCCAACUCCUCCCCUUCAUUCCCUCUGAUUGCUUCCCCAUUCAUUCUAAGCUCCUCCCUCCCGUAUCCUCUCUCUCCCUCUUCUCUUUCAUGCAGCAGCGGCUCCGUCCUCCGGUCACCAACCAACGUCAAACUAUACCUCCAGAAUUCUCUUCCCUUCCUCUUUCCAACCCUCAAGUUAGUUUCUCCAAAUUUGUAGCUGAAUUUUCUUAAUUUCAGAUCUAAAAAACGGUGACCGUGGGUAUUCCGGCCAAUUUCCGGCGAAGUCUGCCUGAAUUGGACCUCAACCAAGAGGUAAAAAUGAUCCUCUCCUCAUGGCUGUUCCCUAGUGUAAGUGAUUUCUCAAAAUAAAAACUUUCAAUUUUUGGAUCGAUUCUAGAUUUCAAAUUUUAAUUCCAUUUUCUAUAUGCAUGUCGAAGAUUGGGGACGAGGAAGGUGAAUCAAGGUUGUUUCCAACCUGGGCCGAGAAGAAUGGAAGCCUUGGAACAUUGUGGGCGAAACUAAGGUGAAGAGGGUUCUUCUAAAAAAAUUAAGGUGAACAAGGUGAUUUUCUCCUUAACCACAACUAUUACAUUUUAUCUCUUGCUUGGAAUUUUUUUUAAAAUUCCCAGGAUCUGCUUUGGCAAUACUUUUGAUGGUAAAAAAGAAGCAGCUGCUUUUAUAAAGCUUUUGUAGUCUCAAGCACGGUAAAUAUAAUAGCACUAGAAAGUGAGGAAAUCCACUUUCUUUGGUCAGGUUGGAUUCUCUACUAUGACUACCAUUUUUAUCUCUAAACAAAUUUUUAAUGGUAUGUAUGAUAUAAAAAGGUAAAUUUAACUAUUUUGGUUUCUUUGUUCUCACGCUUUGGUGCCUCGAGUUUUAAUUUUUCAUAGUUGUGUCUGAGUUUUUUUCCAGUUACAAUUCGGGAGUCAUUGGCAACUUCUACGGGACCAAAAUUGUUUUUAGGUCAAAAUACAGGAACCAAAUCAUAACUAGACUAGGAGAUUACAUUACAUUACCAAAGUAGGAAAGUUCAGUCUUGAUUCAGAGUUUGGCAACAUAAUAUGUAUGUAGGAUGUUGUUUUAGAACCGCUUGGUAAGUGUUAAAUACAUCUUAUAACAUGACUAACUAACAAGCAUGGUCGUUCAGAUAUACAUGCAAUUGAGAUCACUGAUUAAAUCAGAUUUCUUUUAUAUUGAAGCAAAUCUUGCCUAUUAGGUGUUUGUAAAAAUUCCCCAAAGAGUUAGAAGUAGGAUAUGAUGCAAAUCUGAAUGUAGGCUGUUUUGGUAUGUGUGUGUACGUAUAGGGUGUUAGAAUAAAAGUUAGUAUUGUUUUACACUGCCAGGUGUCACAAUUGUAUUGGAGAUUCUAGAAGUUAGUUAUGUGUGAUUGUAUUUAUAAGGAUGUAUGAUGUAAUAAUUGAGAUAUAAUGAAAUAAUAGUUUCUCUCUCUACACUCUCUCUCUCUCUCUUCAAAGCUCUCUAGUUCUUCUCUGCCUUUCACCAUAGCUUUCUCUUAGUGUUAUCAUGGUAUCUUAGCCAGCCAUGGUUUACACCAUUGCUUAACGAUUCCUAUGCUUCCGCUCAUCUUCAUCAUUCCGGUGACCGAUAUUGGUGGCUGUUUGCUGGUUAUUAGUGAUUCCGGUCAAGUGUCGAUUACUCAAAAAAAAAAAAAACCCUAAGUCGGUGGAAUUUCUUUUUGUCGAUUGUUUGAUUCUGUCAUCGGAGAUUGUUGCUCUGUUCGUCGAUCUUUGCAAUUGCUACUGCUUCGCAAUUUGUUUAGCCGUGGUGGUACAAUUGAGGUGUUUUCUCUCAAUUCUUGCUACUUAGUAUUGUUUAUUGAUAGUUCUGUGUCAAUCAAAUUGUUGAUUUUUGGGCAAUUCUUGCUGCGUGAUUCGUUGUGCUUCUGUUUAUUUCUUGAGUAAAGGAGUUGUGUUCUUGAAAGUUAAUUUCAUUGUUGAAUUGUUGAUCUCUGUUGGUGCAUUAUGGUUACCACUUCACAAUUAGCCCUUACACAAUCUCCAAUUUCUUCACUUAUACCUAGUGUUGGAAACACAGUUACUGUGAAAUUGGAUUAUUCAAAUUAUGUUACUUGGAAUUUUCAGAUAUCAUUGUUACUAGAAGGGAAUGAAAUUAUGGGGUUUAUUGAUGGAUCCAUUCCAUGUCCUUAGAAAUAAACUGAAUUGGAAUCUGAUGAUGAGUCGGUUGUUAAUACUUCUCCACUGACUGAUGCUUAUAAAGUUUGGAAAAUCCAUGAUAAAGCUCUUAUGACCUUGAUCACUGCAACACUCUCUACUGCUGCAUUAUCUUGUGUUAUUGAAUGUCAAAGUGAAGGAUUAUUUUGUGAAAACAUGUUCAUUUAAGCAACAUCUAUAAGCAUGCAAUUAACAAUUAAAGGCGGAAUCAUGCUUGCAUGCACUUAAAAACAAAACAUUAACCAAGAAAUUCAAAGCCUAGUAGAUUGGUUAACCAAAACUCAACUCAAAACAAAGUGAGUUGAAAUUGUACCUUUGUAGAUUCCUCUUUGCAUAAGCAAAGGCUAAUCACCCAAAGAGAGGGCCUUCAUUCCUUGCAUCUAAAAUCUAUGGAUUUGGAUGGAUGAAAAGGUUUCUCCAAGUUCCCAAAAUUGAGAACCUCUAAGUCUCCACACCAAGGAGAGAUUGGAGAAGAAAAUGAGUGACAUUGGAGUAGUAGUAUGGCUAGAUACACCCUCCAAGGGGCCGGCCUCUUUAGAGAGAAAUGGAGAGACAUGUUCUCUCCAAUUUUCUCCAAAACAAACCCUUAAUGAAUUUUGGCUAUAAAGUCAUAUUUAUACCUUAAUUCAUUGGAGUGGCAAACUUGUAAAUAAGUCCAAAACCCACUCCAAAAGCAUCAUGGCCGGCCUUGGGGUUUCAUUGGGCCUUUUAGGCCUUUGUGAAUCAUUAUUCAUUAAGUUGUCAUACAACUUAAGUCAAUGGGCUUGACGUUCGAAGCCCAUUGGGCCUUAAGGUCCAAAACUAUCCCGAGGUCCUUAACGAACUUAUUCGUUUGAUUAAUUAACAUAUUAAUUAAUCAUUGCCAUAAAUAAUUAAACCAUUUAAUUAUUCUUACUCAUCUCCAUUGUUUCUUCAAUCUCCACCUUACACGGUGUACGAUCCAUUAGGUUCCUUUUAGCGAGGUAGUGGGCGAUUAAAACCAUUUUACAUCGAUUGUGAAUUGAAACUUACUUUCAAUUCUCCCUUUAGUGAUUACACACGUUUAGGGCUUCCACAAACCAUGAGUGACACCUAGCAGCAUAUCAUGGUUACCCAAGCUAAUCAGAAGAGGUGGAGAACCUAUUCAGUUUAGGAUUACAAAUGCAAUACAAUCUUUCUCUAAUACAAUACUCUUGACCACAUUGUUUGGUUUGAUAGUUUAUUUAUUCAUGUCUACUAUCCAAUGUGAUUCGUGUGCUUAUAUGAUUACCUUAAAUGUGAUUUGGAACGCUUUCCUAAAUCUCAUUCAUACUCUGGCCAGAGGUUCUAAUCAUAUCAUAGAGUAUUCUCCCUCAAACGGUUUGAAGGUUAGAGAUCCCUUGUUGCGCAUUCACUUGUCUCCAUGACUAAGUGGCUUAACCCCAAUGAUGUCGUGGACACCCCGAUGGGGUGACUUUGACAUAAUCAAAGAUCAAGGACUUAACCACAAGACAACUGUGAUGCCUCAGGUCAAAUGACUACUUUGCAUUAUCCCAACCAUGAGUUCUCAUGUGACAUGAAUAUGAGAACUCUUCGUUGAUCCUGUUCAGUGAACUCAUUCUCUAUUGAGCACCUACGUACUUGACUUGAUGUCACACACACCAAUGACUCGAGACUAGUCACUCUCCUUGAGAGAAGACACAGUACGUACUGAUCUUAACGGACUGUCAAUGCCCAAUUGGCAAUCCUAUGAUCCGGAACAUUUAGGAUGUGUCUACGAAAGAAUGGUCUCAUGAAUCUAACUUUUUUAGAUCGUAUUCUCCCAAUCACAUAUUCCUUGGACUUAUCGUUUAAGCAUAUAACAUUUAUAUGAGACGGCUCAAACAAUAAUCUUUGCCCUUGAUAUUAAACUAGAUUAGUUUAACAUGUGAAAUGUCCAUAAAGUAUCAUCAUAUGAUUGGUUUUAGGGCACAUUUCCAACACAAAGCUCUAGUGAUAUGUGGAAUAGUUUGAAAGAAAGAUUUGCUCAUAUGACUCGCACUAGCAUUGUUCAAAUGAAGAUUGAUCUGCAGAACAUUAAGAAAGGGCCAGAAUCCAUUGAUGCUUAUUUGCAGAGAAUUAAAGAGUGUAGGGAUCAAUUAGCUACUGCUGGUGUUGUGAUUUCUGAUGAGGAUAUUGUCAUUGUGGCUUUACGAGGAUUACCUACAUAAUACAAUACCAUUAAGUCUGUGAUUCGGGACAGAGAGAGUUUGGUUACAUUGAAAGAGCAUAAGUCUCAGCUCAAGGCCGAAUAGUCUACUUUGGAAGAAGUUCUUAAACCACCACCUUUAAUGGCAGCUAUGUUUGCCAAUACUUAUGGUCCAACUUAUGAAAUUGGUGGCUCUUCCAACUCUAACUCACAUAUUGGCAGCUUUGAUCUUGGAUCUCAUGGUUCCUCAUUUUCACCAAUGGCUUAAUUUCAACAAUUACCAUUUCCUUCUUCCCAAGGUCCUGUUGCUUUUGUUUCUCAAACUGGUUCUGGAACUUAUAACAAUUUUAGGGGGAAUAACUAUAGAUCCAAGGAUAAAGGGAAGAGGUUCCAUGCUGGUUAUCAACAACCUUCUGGAUAUCUAAAUUUUGCACAACCUCCACUCCAAUCUCAGUCACAGUUUCAAAAUCCUGGAAAUCAAAUGGUUUCAGGUGAAUCUUUUCAACCAUUACUUGUUUUCCAAAUAUGUGAUAAGAAGGGACAUGUUGCUUUAAACUGCUUUCAGAAUGGCUGCCAAAUCUAUCACAGAAAGGGACACACAGCUGCCACUUGUUUUGACAAGAAUAAUCUUGCAUCUAUGACUGUGCCUAUGUCUCAGACUUUCUUCCCAUCUCUUAUGAUGUUUCAGCAACAUUCAUAUCCUUUUACUCCUUCACAGUUGCAGCUACAUCUUCAGUCUCCAAAUUCUUUUCCUUCUCAAGUGCAGCCUUCCACUAUGAUGUCUUAAUCUCAGUUUUCUAAUGGGGUGAUAUAUUCUCAACAAAAUUCACCUGUUGCUUUUAUUGCCAGAACCAAUUUCUCUCCAACAGCCCCACAACAAGAGUAUUGGUUGCUGGACUCUGGAGCAACUAAUCAUAUAACAUCCGAUCUCUCUAAUAUGCAAGUUACUACUCCAUAUGCUUCCUCAGAGACUGUGACUGGUGCUAAUGGUGAAGGUUUACAAAUUUCACACAUUGGUCAAGCUAGUAUAUCUACUCCUUCUCAUACACUUGAGUUAAAAUUUGUGUUACAUGUUCCACAACUAUCACAACACUUACUGUCUAUGUAUCAAUUAUGCAAAGACAACAAUUAUAGGUGUAUUGUUGAUGAGUUUUCUGUGUGUAUACAAGACAAGGUCACCAACAGGAUUCUAUAUCAAGGACUGAGAAACUAAGCUGUCUACCCACUUCCUAUUCUCAAAUCACCAAAGACAAAUCCUGCAACAUUUCUUGGACAGAAAAUAAAUGCUUCUCUUUGGCAUUGCAGAUUGGGUCAUCCCACCAAUUCUGUAACUCAAGUAGCUCUUAGUAAGUCAGCCAUUAAUUUCCCUUGUAAUUCACCACCUCAAACUUGUACUGCUUGUUUACAAGGCAAGUUCACCAAGUUGUCUUUUCCUAUAAUGGCUUCAAAGUCCCUUGUUCCUUUUGAAGUCAUUCACACAGAUGUAUGGGGUCCCUCUCCUACUAAGUCUAUAGAAGGGUAUAGCUACUAUGUGUCAUUUAUUGAUGAAUGUACACGAUAUACAUGGAUUUUCCCCAUGAAUAAUAAAGCUGAUGUCUUUGAGAUAUUUGUCCGAUUUCAUGCUUAUGUUCACAACUACUUUUCUGCAAAUAUUAAAGUUUUGCAAAGUGAUGGUGGAGGUGAAUAUGUUAGUACUCUUUUUCAAAACUUUAUCACAACCAAAGGCAUUGUUCAUAAAAAAUCUUGUCCAUACACCCCUGAACAUAAUGGUUUAGCUGAAAGAAAGAAUAGGCAUCUUGUUGAAACUGUUGUUACAUUACUUCAAAAAGCCUUCUUUUCAUCUAAGUUCUGGUUUCAUGCAUGUGCCACAGCUGUCUAUCUUAUUAAUAGACUGCCUACUUCUAUCUUACAUAUGCAAUCGCCAUUCGAAAUGUUGUAUAAAUCUCCACCUCCAGUUGAUCAUUUAAAGGUUUUUGGCUGUGCUUGUUACCCUUCCUUAAAACCUUAUAGACAUCAUAAACUUGAUCCUAAGACUACUCAGUGUAUUUUCUUGGGAUAUGUUGCUCAAUAUAAGGGGUAUGUAUGCUAUGCUAUAAGGGAUAACAAGUUAAUUGUUUCCAGGCAUGUUUUGUUUGAUGAAACUGUUUUUCCUAGUGAACAUGGGAUGUCUUCUUCAUUUUCUAGUCAUGCUAUAUCUUCUAAGUCACUUCCAGCUACCAUAACUCAUCCUACUACAUUUCAUCAUCCUCCCAUUAUUCCCAUACCAUUUCCACACAUUUCAUCUUCUCCGAUACCUGUUACUCAGUCCUGUUCCCAAUCAAAUGGUGAUCUUGGUCCUACUUGAGGUGUUUCUACUUCAGAGUCUCCAUCUUUCUUGAUGCUAUCUGAAAAUCAUCCUGAUGUAACUAGUUCUUAGGCUCCAGAUUUGCAACAAGUAUCUAUGAUCAGUCUUAAUACUCAUCCAAUGCAAACCAGGUCCAAGUCUGGAAUUUUUUAAAAGAAGGCUUUUUCUGCUUCUAUUCAAGCAGAUUCAUCUCUGGACAAGGAACCUCAAUCUUUUUGAGUUGCUGCUAAAUCCUCUCAGUGGCAACAAGCAAUGACAGAAGAGAUUGAGGCAAUUUUCAAACAGAAAACGUGGACACUAGUUCCUCUCCUACUUCAUAAGAACUUGGUGGGUUGUAAAUGGAUAUAUAAAGUGAAAAGACAUCCUGAUGGAUCGGUUGCCAGGUAUAAGGCUUGUUUAGUGGCCAAGGGAUUUUCUCAAGAAGCUGGUCUCGAUUACUAUGAGACUUUUAGCCCUGUGGUUAAGCCUACAACAAUUCGGUUGAUGUUGUCAUUGGCUGCAACAAAGGGCUGGAAACUUAAGCAGCUAGAUGUGAAAAACGCUUUUUUGCAUGGCUUUCUAGAUGAGGAAGUAUACAUGUCUCAACCACAAGGGUUUGUUGACAAGGAUCAUCCAGAUUUUGUAUGCAAAUUAGAAAGGUCUUUGUAUGGCCUCAAACAAGCUCCCCAAGCUUGGAAUGAAAGAUUUUCUAGAUUCCUUCUCAGUUUAGGGUUCAAAGCUUCAUAUCCCGAUCCUUCUUUAUAUGUCAAGAGUGAUGGUCAUUCUCUUGUUGUGUUGCUAUUAUAUGUUGAUGACAUUAUACUCAGUGGAGAUGAUGAUUCUCUUGUUCAGUAUGUGAUUAAUCAAUUAACCAGUGAAUUCGAUAUGAAGGACUUACGGGUCUUACACUAUUUUCUUGGGUUACAGAUUGAGUAUCAACCUUAGGGAUUGCUAGUUUAUCAGUCUAAGUAUAUCAAGGACUUGCUGCAUAAGGCACAUAUGUUUGAUAGUAAGCCUUGUACCACUCACUGUCAUCCUUACCAAAAGCUCUUAAAUCAUGGUAGUCCUCCAUUUCAUGAUCCAGGUCUUUACAGAAGUAUAGUUGGAGCCUUACAGUACUUGACUUUCACUCGACCUGAUAUAGCCUACUCAGUCAAUUAGGUAUACCAGUUUAUGCAUUCUCCUUUUGAAAGUCAUUUUGUUGAUGUGAAAUGAAUCUUGAGGUAUCUCAAAGGAUCUAUGACUCUCGGUUUGUGCUUUAGACCUGGUAAUCUGGAUAUACGAGCUUACACAGAUGCUGAUUGGGCUGGGGAUCCUAAUGACAGAAGGUUAACCACUGGUUUUGUUGUAUUUUUAGGUGAUAAUCCGAUUUCUUGGAGUUCUAAGAAACAUCAUACUGUUGAGGAUGUGUGGAUUCAACAGUUACUCAAUGACCUAUUUCUCUCUUCUGCAACAACUCCAUUGCUCCACUGUGAUAAUAUAUCAGCUAUAGCCUUAGCAACUAAUCUCAUUUUACAUUCUAAGGCUAAACACAUAGAGAUUAACUGUCAUUUUGUGUGGGAAAGAGUGCAGCAAGGCACAAUUCUGUUGCAGUUUGUUAAUUCCUCAUAACAGUUUGCUGAUAUUCUUACCAAGGGUCUAUGUUUUCCAUUGUUUAAUUCUCAUUGCACCAAUCUUAUGCUUGGGAAUGCCCAGCAUAAAAUUGAGGGGGAAUGUUAGAAUAAAAGUUAGUAUUGUUUUACACUGCCAAGUGUCACAAUUGUAUUGGAGAUUCUAGAAGUUAGUUAUGUGUGAUUGUAUUUAUAAGGAUGUAUGAUGUAAUAAUUGAGAUAUAAUGAAAUAAUAGUUUCUCUCUACACUCUCUCUCUCUCUCUUCAAAAGCUCUCUAGUUCUUCUCUUCUUUUCACCAUAGCUUUCUCUUAGUGUUAUCAUGGGGGUGUUAUAUUGAUACGACAUGCUGCCUAAUUUUUCUAUUUUUGGAUUGCUAGAUCAAAGAAGGAAGUUCAAUUUAUCAAGGAUAAAGGUUUGGACUACUAGACAGCAUGCCGCCUUCGGUUUGAGGUAUGGAAGUUUCGUGCUUACAAUCUGGCCGCUUACGUGUUUAAAUUUCUGGUUUAUCAAUAUGCUCAAGAUUUGGUUAGCAGGUAGUUAUGCUAACAAAUCAAAAUUCCUUUAAGAAUCUGGUUGGUAAUCUUGGUAACCUCUAUAUUUGUGUAAAAAUCAAGAGCCAUCUGCAUAGUCCUAUGCUAAUGAGCUGCAAGUAAAACUUCAGUAAUAAUGUGUUUUUGUAUUUCUUUCUAGCGAUCAACUCUUUACGCUCGAAAUUUGGCGAUUAGGACUUGCCUUUGAUUUUAUUCGGUGCAGCAGAGUUUUUCUUCGAUUUGUUCAUCUUCUUCCUGAUUUUUGUUCCAUUUUUUUUAUAUUGUUUUGGGAUAUGUGAAUGUAAUUUUUUGGGUAUUUCUUUGCUUCAAUUCUCUCUAAUUUUUUGUUGUUUAGUUUGACUGGUAUUUCCCUAUUUGUUACCCAAACAACAGUCCUCUUAGAUACUACUUGCUUGGAGUACCAUAUACCUAUAUAGUAGUUUGAAACCUGACCUAGUUUGAAGAAACCUAGCUCAAACAUCCCACCUGCAGAGAUAAUGGUUUGAUCGCCAGAGAGAGAUUUGCAUGACAUGAUUAAGCUCUUUGGAAACAGAGUGUUCAAACACUUUUCAAAGUUUGAGUCCCAACAUUUGUUCAAAAUUGUAUAAAAGAUCAGUUAUGGAAAUUUGUGUUAUAUUCUUAUAUCAAAGAUAUUACAAUUUGUUUCCUCACCCAAAAAAGAGAGGAAAUAUUCCUAUUCAAAUCUGGGUGCCCCCGGAGGCAUCUUUUUUUUUUUAAUAUUAUUUUGCAACUUUGCCACCAAUGUGAAUUAGGGUGGCAUUGUUUGCAGAUGACACCAAUGCAAUAUUGGUAGCCAUUGUUACAAUAGAGUCCUCUACAUAGGCCAUGUUCUCUAGUUUAGUGGCUGCUUUGUGGCCAUUUAGGUUUGCCACCAAUGAAAGUGUCCACACUUGACAAUAGACACCAAUGAAAAGGGUGGCUUUUAGCCAAAAUUCUAGUAGUGUUUGGAGUGCUACUAUUAUAAGGACGUGGUCGUUGUAUCUUGGGAGACAAGAGCCGAUCAACCAUGAGCAUCGUAGUGGGGCGUAAACGUGUCUUAAUGAUAGAGUGUCUAACACUUGCCUCAACAAUAUUUCCACAUUUUUCAAAUCCAUUAUGUCAUGUUCAUUUAACAUUGAUUACUCAUGCGCAUGCAUUAAUUUUGAUAUAUAAUUGCAUGAAUUAUUUCUUAAUUUUCUAUGUGAUUUAAUAUAGCAAUAGACCAUAUUUUUCAAGUUCGUCUACCCAAGGAGAUUGCCGGUAUAUUACGUACAUAUCAUAACUGAAGAAGGCAUCUACUUUUCAGUGUGUAGAAAAAUAUUCUUGUAUGAUUUAUUUCAUUCCCAAUUACACAAUAUAUAAGAUACAUCGGUAUAAUGGUUGAUUACAAUUGAAUGGAUUACACAACAAGAUAUGAAAUAGCCAACUUUCCAUUAUUGACACCAUCUUAUUGAUGAUAGAGAGAUUUGUUGUGAUGAUGGAGAUGAGAGAAUCCCGAUGUUGACCUUAAAAACUAUUUAGCCUACAUGACGCACAUGCCGAAUAGUUAAUAAGCUAACUACAUCCAUCGGUUGAUUACAGGGCUUGCCAAAUCGUCGGUCGAGCUUGGGCGGGGAGUGAAUGAGUUGAUGUGGCGUUGUGCGCGCUGAUGACUUCUGAAUCUUGUGACUGCGGCUGAAGAAGGAACACGUCUCAACCUUCGAGUUGUACAGCCUGAAGACAAGGCUGUUAGUUCUGCGAAUUUCACGAAUCGUGGGCACUGGGUUCAGCAAUGGCGAAUCGAUACCGAAUUGUAGAGGCACAAGUAUUUUGAGAUAUGUGUCUUGAUUGUAAAUAUGAUUCAACUGUUUGAGUGUCGAACUCUGAAAUGCACUUGUGAGUAUCCUAUCAUAUACUAAGUUCGGCCUUCAGUGUGCCAAACGUCGUAACUUGGUAACACUUUACUUCAUUGAGAAGGCUAAUAAGAUGACCUUUUCCAACAAGGACUCAACAAAUCCUUGUUGAUCGAGACUUGGAUAGAUAACCAGUCGGUCGCGAAGAAAUGUUGUUUAUCCAAACUGAAGGUGCUCUUCAAUAGGCUGAUUCUACAGCUCCAGUGUUGUUUAUCCAAACUAAAGAUGUUGCCAGUUGCCAACAUAAUGUUGUUUAUCCAAACUCAAGGUAUAUUGGUGUUAAAAAGGUAAAAUAAAAAUCUCAAGAUGUGUGAGAGGUUUUGCAUAGAGCGAGAGUUUACGCAAGGCAGUUUUGUGUGUUGGUCUAGAGGGGAUCUUAACUUCCUGUUGCUUCUUUAUUUAUAAAACAUAUUUUCACCUUGGCACGACCUGACAAUUUUGUAGAGUUCAAUAGAUUUAGAUCCCAUCUGGAUCCAAAUUGUAGGGAUCCUAUAGAUCCAAAUUGUUGGGAUCCUAAGGAUCUCCACGUCCUAGCCGUUCAUCGUAUAUCGUGCAGUCAGAAAUCUUUUUGAAUGAUGUAAGUAUCUCUAAAUCCCUAAAAAAAAAGAUCUGAAAAGAAUCCUCAUCUGAGUUCAACUGCAACUCAAACCAGUAGAAUUGAUCUAUGCCAUAGGCUAAAGCCUAUCCCCCAAUCAAAAACUUAUCACGUCACCAGAAAAAAAAACAAGUUUAUCUCCAUCAAAUCACUUCACUGAUCCAAGCCAUGCAUAUUUCCGUUGAUGAGACCGCGGAGAAAUUAUAGAGUAGUACUGUAGUACCACGUGGCAAGGCCAAAUGGUAGUACUCAUUAAUCAGAUUAAGAAACAUUUAAUUAUGAGAUAAUAAAAAUAUCAGUGUUCUAAAAAUCGGCCUAGGUAGCGCCUAGGCGCUGAGCGGUGGAGCUUUGACUCGAUUUAGACCAAAACGUUCAGUUAGGCGGGGAGGACUUAGGCGGCCGCCUAAGCUCUUGCUAGGAGCCUGAGGCGGGCUAAGCGACGCUAGGCGACAAUUUAGACGGUUUGAAUCCUGCUGCAAUUUUCGCAAAGGAUCUACAACUUUCGAUCUCGUACGUAGCAGCAGAGCCCCGGCGAAUUUCUACAGCUCGUCUCUGUGAAGAUGAGGGAAGAGAGAGUGCUAUCAGCAAAUUUUUGCAGCUCGUUUGUGAAGAUGAGGGAAUAUAAAGUGCGAUGAAAGAGAGAGAGACUUAAACAUUUCAAUGUGGUGGCACAAGUUGAGGAUUGGGAUCUCAAAUCCAAGGUUAAAAGCUGAUGGUUUUAUUUAUGAAAACCACCCAAGGUGGACGGUUGAUGGUUUUAAUAAUGAAAACCACGCACUAUGUGGGCUUUUUAUAUUUUUAAAAGUUUGGGAUAUAUUAUAAAGGUCGUACCCAGUGCACAAGGCUCCCGCUUUACGCAGGGUCUGGGAGAGGUGAAUGUCGGCUAGCCUUACCCCCAUUUAUGGAGAGGCUGCUCCCAAGUCUCGAACCCGAGACCUACCGCUCAUGGGCGAAGGCACUUGCCAUCGCACCAAGUGCGACCUCUUGGGAUAUAUUAUAUAUAUUACAAAUUAUUUAGAUAAUAUUUUGUUUUUUUUUCCUAGGCAAGCAUAGUAUAUACUAGAGAGACUCCCCAGUUCCCCCAACUUUUCCAGCUUCCUUCCGCUCCUAGAUGAGCAACGCAUGUACAUCCAAACUCCUUCCCUUCCUAGAUGACCAGCACGCAUACAUCCAACCUCCUUUCCUUCUUAGAUGACCAACACACUGCAUAAUGGGUAAACCAGUAAAUUCACUGUGCAAAAUGGAAAAUACGGGCUAAUAUCAAAGGAAUUGGAAGGCAUUUUCGUCCAUUCACUGUUAAUGAACAGUGUUUUUGUGUUGGGUUUUAGUAUAUGUAUAAUGUACAUAAAACCUUCACAUAUGUAUGUUCUUCUAUAAGAAAUAACAUAUUAGUCAAUAAUUAGUUACUUUUGAUAUAGUAAAUUUAAUUAAUUUAUAAAAUAUAUAACAAAUUUACCUAAAUCCGUCUAGGCCGCUAGGCCGCCUGUCUAGACCCCACCCAACCACUAAGUGCCAACCCGCCGUCAGACUAGCGCUUAACGUUUUUUAGAAUCUUGAAAAAUAUUUAUAAUUGUUUAAUUAUUUCAUUAACUAUCAAUAAAUCUGAAACCUCUCCGGCUUCUUCUCUCUCCUCUCUGUUCAUCGAGAAAUCUUUAACUUCAUCUCUUUCUUCUUCGUCUAUCUCCUCAUUGCCUCCUUUCUGUCGCAGAACUUCGUCCUCCGUGCGCUCUGCCGGUGAAUGACUACUGAUCAAAAUUUAAAUGAGACUUUUGAACCAAGGAGGUCCCUGUUCGAAAUGAGUUCGGCUUUCGUCACUGUUAAAAUUUAAAUGGGAAUGAGAGAGAUGAGUUCGAUGUCCUUCCUUCUGUUGUUUAGAUUUAUGUCAGAAGUCAGAAUUAUUCAUUUUGUUUCGAUCGUUUGUCUGUAAAACGUUCACCAAAAUAUUGCAUAUUUUGAAUGACCGGCCGACGAAAUUAGAUCCUCUCCGGACCAAUUUCAUAUGGACCCUCUGGACCAUUUAAUCCCGACUGUUCACCAUAGAAACGGCGGUGAGGACUAAAACUUUUUUUUUAUUUUAACUCUUCGCUCACCACGAAACAAUGAAAACAAGAAAUUAAAAGAUGAAAAUUGAAACACUUUUCAGAUUCUUUGCAGCUGAAAAUCAGUGAAAGGAUGAAAAAUUGUAUUUUUGGAUUUGUAGCAAUCUUGAAGGUUUGGAAAAUUGAAAUAGUUUUCAGAUUUUUUUUGCAGUUGAAAAAUAGUGGAAGGAUUGAAAGUUGUAGAUUUGCAGCAACCUUGAAGGUCUGGAGCUUUUCUUCAAUGAACGUCCAGAGCUUUGCUUCAAUGAAUUGUCUUGUGGGAGGAGAGAGAAGACAACAGACGAAGUUGAGGCGGUGAAGAGUUAAAUGCAUUAUUAAUAAAUUAUUAACUGAUUAUUCAAUUUAUCUUUCCACGUGUCUUAAUAUGAUUAGUAAGUACUAUCAUUUGGCCUUGCCACGUGGUACUACAGUACCACUUUAUAAUUUCUCAAAGACCGCGUGCAUGCACUAUGAUUCCUUCGUCAAAUUAAACUCUGACAUUUCAUUCGAAUUGAUGUAAUGUAAUCACCAUAUCUCAAGAUAAAGUUACGUGCUACAACCACCACAAUCACUCAAACAUGUUCAUGAAUUCCAAGCCAAUUUGAAUACUACCACUACUUCCAGAAUUGAGAUAUGACUUUGGGCUUUGAUAAUAAGCCACGUAGGAGAUUGCAUGCACUGGGGCUUGAUGUGAUAGUGUAUUCGAAUGUCUUCACGCAAUCUUUGAAAAUUGCACACGUGCCCACUUUUUAUUCCCAUGCAUAUUUAUGGAUCUCUCUUGCAUGUAUAUUAACCGUUUAUGGAUCUCUCUUGCAUAUAUAUGCAUAUGUACACGUUGUCGACUCCAGACUUCCUUCAUAUAUCCAUAGUCAUAGAUUCAAUUUGCUGAAAAAUUCUAGAUAGUUGGCUCAUCUGUCUACACCCACGAAACUAGAAGGUGAUAUUUUCUUGCUUAAUUGUAUCGCUUUGUUUGUAGGCUUUUGUUUUCUGUGAUCCAGAUGCUUUAUUAUACUAACGUUUCCUUGGCUCUUCGCCUCUGUUGAGGGAUCUUGUUUUUCUUGUUUAAGUUAUGCAUAUGUAAGCUAGACUAGUUAGACGAUAAUUUGAAAUCUCUCUACUCGUAAAUUGGAUUGGUUACAAAAAAAAAAUUGUCUUGUCGUAAAAGCUAAUUAAUAAAAACCGAUAUUGAUUUGGCUUUUUGGAUGGUUUUUUUAAGGAAAUAAUUUAAUCAAUGGAUGGGAUGGACUUAACACCCGAGUCAGCUCAAAAGUUGUUUGAAGGAGACGGAGGAGCAUAUUACAUUUGGUCGAGUUCAGAUGCUCCGGUGCUUGCUGAGGCCAAGGUUGGUGCAGGCAAGCUUGUUCUUCAACCUCAUGGCUUUGCACUUCCUCACUAUGCAGAUUCCUCCAAACUGGGAUAUGUUCUUCAAGGUAAGUAAUAACUAAUUAACUACAGCAUGCAAAUACAUAUAUAAAUAAAUGCAUUUAUAAAUAUCAUGUUCACGUAUGAGAGAUUUUUUUUUUAUUACGUCUGGAACACGAGAGAAUAUUAAUGUCACUGGAAAGUUUUUUUUAUUCAAGUGUCCAUCCAAUUGUAAAAUAACAUGUAGUGUUCUGUCUCGUUUUUCUAGUACACUAAAAAAUCUCUUCACCUACAUGUUUGCCUAUUUUAAUUAAUUUGUUUUUGUAAUUAAGAAAGAUGGAAAACAAAACUUUGUUAUUUGUUCAUCAAUGCCCUUAUUGUAUAACUAGCUAUAUGAUGGAAAACAAAAGUUUGUUAUUUGUUCAUCAAUGCCCUUAUUAUAUAACUAGCUAUAUGAUGGAAAACAAAAGUCAUACUUAACUUGCUAGACUAUAAUGCUUAUAUUAUUGUUGAAGAUCUUAAUUAGCUCUAAUGGUGAUGCAGGUGAUGAUGGAUUAGUAGGAAUGGUAUUCCCUAACACAUCAGAGGAGGUGGUGGUUAAGGUUAAGAAAGGAGAUGUGAUACCAGUACCAGUUGGAGCAGUCUCAUGGUGGUUCAACAAUGGAGAUCGCUCUGAGGAGCUUGUUGUUGUUUUCUUGGGUGAAACUGCCGGAGCUCACAUUCCCGGCCAAUUUACGUAUUUUUUGAUUGCCGGAACCCUAAGUCUACUUGCAGGUUUCUCAACUGAAUUUGUCAGCAAGUCCUUCAACAUCACCGAGGACGAAGCUGAUGACAUCACCGAAAGCCAGACUGGGGUUUUGAUCAUCAAGCUAGGUCAAGAUGAAAAGACCAAAAUGCCCCUUCCCAAUCAGAAACUCACCCACACACAUGUUCACAACAUUACUAGUAGUAAAACUACGGCCACAUUGACUGAGAAGGAAUUCCCUCUUCUUAAAGAAGCUGGGUUAAGUGCGAACCUCACGAAACUCGAGGCCGACGCAAUUAGCUCUCCAAUUUACGCACCUGAUUCCACAGUCCAGGUGAUUUAUGUUGCUCGAGGGAGUGGCCGGAUACAGAUUGUGGGUGUUAACGGUCAAUGUUUGUUGGACGCAGAGGUAACUGCCGGCCAACUGCUUGUGGUACCAACGUUCUU
RNAcentral lists this long non-coding RNA (45525 nucleotides) under Malus domestica (apple). RNAcentral describes it as "long non-coding RNA (MDOM_LNC007798)". The record is from RNAcentral. Lineage: Eukaryota; Viridiplantae; Streptophyta; Magnoliopsida; Rosales; Rosaceae.